CUUGAUGGCCGAAAAGCAACUGGAAAUCCUCCGCGGGUACGAGCUGCGGCUCUUGCGCUGCACCCUCGCUCCCCCACCGUCCGAUCUUCGCAUUCAAUCGCAACCGUUGAACGAAGAAAGCCAAUGCUCUAUCCUUCCACUCCACGAGCACAUCAACAGCCUCAUCAACUCCAUCGAGUCCGGCCACUAUCUCCAGGCUCUGUCCUCCGACGAGGCUAAACACGCUCUCGACACGCUCGAUUUCGUCGACAUCAACGACUCAGCCGAGUGUGCCGACCGCGUCUACUCCGAGCUGCUCCAGCUUGUCGAAGCGUCUAUAGUGAACGAUUCCGAAAUUGACGUGGAUAAGGCUUGUCGAGUUAUUCUGCUCAUGUGUCUUUCAAUUGCUGCCCUUUUUUGGUUCACUCAGUGUAACGUGACUGGGUGAGUUUCUUAUUUAUAAAUUUUUAAAUAAUUGCAAUUAAUUAAUAAUAAAUAUUAGUAAAAAAUUAAUCAAAAAAAAGGUUUAGUGAUGAACCUUGUCGAGGUGCCUUCUAAUAGAAAAGAGCUCACGGCAAGAUGAAAUGCAAAGUAAGUUGUUUUAUGGUUGGGCGGUGUGUAGCCGUCUUGUUGAAGGCCAUAAGAUGUUAAGCAUAUUGCUGUUUAAUUUUUAAAUCAUUCUCAGUAAUAAUUCCUUUAGUAGAUUGAUGAUAAGAGAUUGCAUUGCAGAUGAUAACUGAGCACAAUUUCUGUAGUUGUAUCCCUGUACAUCCAUCUUAAUAUCCUCAUUAUAUUCACAUGCCUUUUACGGGUGUUAUUUCUGGAUGCAGAAUGCUUUGUUCCACGUCUGGAUACCAAAUGCUUUGUUCCACAAAGCUGAGCUGGUUGAAAAGCUAGCUGAUGAGGUCAACAUGUCCCUUAAGUAAUUUGAGGAUGAACACUGUGUUCCCGAAAGUCUUACUCUAAUGAUACUUAAAGAAGCAAUGAGAAUGGAUGUUGCAGCAGCUUUGCUGAACUCAACCCCAGUUCCAAAAAUGGAACAUGUGAAAAUGCAUUGUUUUUUUUUUUUUUUUUCUCUCUCUUUAUGACUUCUUUGGUUGGGAAUGUAUUAGAUAUUCACCUAAUCAGUAGGCCUUGAAGGGAUCCCAUGUUAGCCCCUUGAUGUUGGUCUGUAACUAAGUAAAUACUUGACCUUGAAAAAGCUUUUGGAGGCAUCAGUUCUCUCUGACUGUGUGCUACUUUUUGGAUCUGUUGAUUUGGUCAUUUGCUGAUUUAUAGUUAUUUUUCUGAUUCAGGAUGGGAUAUGGCUCCAUACAUAUAUAGGCAAUUGAUUCACAGCAGUCGUCAUGCUUCAUUGUAAUUAUAUAUACAAUACAGCAUCAGUUUUUCUUGAUUUUAAAUCUCGUAUUCUGAAGUGGUACUUCUGAUUCUCACAUGAUUUUUCCAUCUUUCAGCUAAAGUUUUUCUGUGAUCUCUUCCGUAUUAGAUGGGAGUUCACCCGUAGUCGCACAAAAGGGCGUGCUUUAGAGAUGAUGGACAAACUGGUAUGAUCUGUGAGCCUUUUCUUCUUAAAUAUUUUGUUACCUAAAUCAUUUUCAUUCAAAUUUACAAGAGUUGCCUAUGGAUCUAUAGAAGAUUCCAAACUUUCUGCAGCUAGUAGUUUCUUGGUUUCCGUACUGUCCAUCGGGUAAAGAUUGAAUGUGCAUCAUUUAUAAACUUGUCGGGAUCUUCCUUCUUAGCUUUGAGAUUGCUCCUGCAUAUAGGUAGAACCAAAGGCACAAAUGGUACUUGUUGCAAACACAAGCUCAUCCAACACUUCUGAUGUCUGCCCUUCAAUAAACCAAGUCAUUCAUACACAUGAUUCUACUAUUGGUGAUGCCUCUGAUGUUUUUGUGACCCCAAAAUUAUUGGGGAAUAGUCAUGAAUCUGAAUCUGGAGUCCAAUGCAUUCAUGCUGGUGGCUCAGCAGCCCAUUUAAAGGCAAUCCAACAGGCAGUGAUCUUGUCGAGGUGCCUUCUAAUAGAAAAGAGCUCACGGCAAGAUGAAAUGCAAAGUAAGUUGUUUUAUGGUUGGGCGGUGUGUGGUCCUCUUGUUAAAGGCCAUAAGAUGUUAAGCAUAUUGCUAUUUAAUUUUUAAAUCAUUCUCAGUAAUAAUUCCUUUAGUAGAUUGAUGAUAAGAGAUUACAUUACAGAUGAUAACUGAGCACAAUUUUUGUAGUUGUAUCCCUGUACAUCCAUCUUAAUAUCCUCAUUAUAUUCACAUGCCUUUCACGGGUGUUAUUUCUGGAUGCUGAAUGCUUUGUUCCACUUUUGGAAACCAAAUGCUUUGUUACACAAAGCUGAGCUGGUUGAAAAGCUAGCUGAUGAGGUCAACAUGUCCCUUAAGUAAUUUGAGGAUGAACACUGUGUUCCCGAAAGUCUUACUCUAAUGAUACUUAAAAAAGCAAUGAGAAUGGAUGUUGCAGCGGCUUUACUGAACUCAACCCCAGUUCCAAACAUGGAACAUGUGAAAACCAAAAAUGCAUUGUUUUUUUUCUCUUUAUGACUUCUCUAGUUGGGGAAUGUACUAGAUAUUCACCUAAUCAGUAGGCCUUGAAGGGAUCCCAUGUUAGCCCCUUGAUGUUGGUCUGUAACUAAGUAAAUACUUGACCUUGAAAAAGCUUUUGGAGGCAUCAGUUUCUCUCUGACUGUGUGCUACUUUUUGGAUCUGUUGAUUUGGUCAUUUGCUGAUUUAUAGUUUGUUUUCUGAUUCAGGAUGGGAUAUGGCUCCAUACAUAGAGACAAUAGAUUCACAGCAGUCAUCAUGCUUCAUUGUAAGUAUAUAUACAAUACAGCAUCAGUUUUUCUUGAUUUUAAAUCUCAUAUUCUGAAGUGGUACUUCUGAUUCCCACAUGAUUUUUCCAUUUUUCAGCUAAAGUUUUUCUGUGAUCUCUUACGUAUUAGAUGGGAGUCCACCCGUAGUCGCACAAAAGGGCGUGCUUUAGAGAUGAUGGACAAACUGGUAUGAUCUGUGAGCCUUUUCUUCUUAAAUAUUUUGUUACCUAAACCAUUCUCAUUCAAAUUGACAAGAGUUGCUUAUUUAUCGAUAGAAGAUUCCAAACUUCUGCAGCUAGUACUUUAUUGGACCCAAAAGCUUUUUUGCUUUUUCUAAGCUGCUAAUCAAGACUAGGUUUCUCUCCCUUAUAUCGCUAGAUAUGCCAUUAAUCGUUUGAUUUAAUUGUCUAGAGAGAUUAGAUACUUGCAUCUUUGCUUUUCACUUCACAAGUGAUUUCAUGUGCUAUCCUGUAUUCUGGUUCAAGAUUUUUGAUGGUUGCUUACUAUCAUAUUUUGCUUUGUUUCAGGUUGAGGGCAUUUCUAACUCUUCUCCCGGUGUGACUCAAAGUAUUCCCUUUUGUUAUGUGAUUUGCAUUCCAACUAUUCCUGCCCUGCGAAAGUAAAACUAUUUCUUCUGCAUCUUUGAAUGAUUGUGAUUUAAUUUUCUUGUCAUUUUGCCAACUAUCAUUAUGCUGUCAUUGUUUCAUAUCUUAUUUGACAUAUGUUGAUUUGGAUAGAUUUUAAUUGCUCUGUUUAUUCUCUUUAUAAUCUGUCUAUUUCGAUUUUUCUUCAUUUUAGGGAAUAUGCUAAACUUUUAGUAAGCCGUGGCUUGAUUGGAGAGGCUAUUAAAAAUUUUGAGGAUCUGGUGUUGUGGGAUAGUCUAAUACUGCAAUUGGUAUGAUGUCAUAGAUAACCAUUACCCUAAUCUCUCUGUCUAUCUCUCUCUCUCUCUCUUUCGUGUUGCUAAUGGGAGUUGGUUUUGUGUAUGAUGUAAAAAACAGCCUAUUGGGGAAGAAAGCAGCAGCUGUUGAACUAAUAAAAGCAAGGCUGUCUGAAAAGCCUAAUGACCCUACAUUAUGGUUUGUUGAUGAGCCUUUUCUAUGAUCCAUUUUAUAGUUACUUCUCAUUUCAGUUAAAUCCAUUGUUGAUGUCACUUAUUGCAAUCUAGGGAUGAUUGUUCAUUGGAUGUGAGGAUAUUGUCAGAAGAAAAUGAAACCUUUUAAUUUUAUCUUUUACUUGCUGUAGCCGACUUAAAAGGUCACUGUGCGUUCUUACUGAUUGCUUUUGGUCUUGCAUUUGAGUCAGUGGAUUUUAUACUCAUAUUCUGACAUGUAUUGUUAGCCUUCUGACGGUUCUGCACCUUGGUCCUAUAUUAUCUUCAGCAGUAUUAUCUAAAAGAUCAUUUUUUGCCGAAGAAUAUUUGCAUUCUAAACUAGAAAAGGAGGGGCCGCCCGGGCCCGGGGGGGGGGGGGGGGGUGUGUGUGUGUGAAGGAAGCAUCAGGAGGUUGUUUUCCACUUAUCCUCUUCCCUGCCUGCAUUUUAGAUGAUUCUGAUGCACCAGGUGCCGUGAAAUGGUUGAGAAAUACAUACCAUCAAGUGAAUUCUGAAAAUCAUAUCCUUUUUGAGAAUAUUUGGUGCUAGACAUUUGAAUAUGUGGCCACAAUUUAAACAAUAAAGAUUUUCUGCACUGAUUUCUUAUAAUGGAUAUAUGCAUGUAAUUAUAAUAUGAUAUCUUUUGAUUAUUGACCCAUUUGUUUAGAAAGAAGGGGAAAAAAAAAACAUGGUUGAAAGACAACUGUUACUUGACCUUAUCUUGGUCUGUUCACUGCCGUUUGUUUCCUAUAACUUCUGGUGAUAAUGUAGCCAGAAUGAUGAGUUGAAUUGUGGUUUACUGACUUGUGAUACAUUUUGUAGGUGUUCAUUUUUGUUUUCUAAAUUUGUUAUCUAAAGGAAUGACAAGUUGACAACUCAGCCUCUCUCUCUCUCUCUCUCUCUCUCUCUCUCUGUGUGUCUGUGUCAGGGAUCUGAUUUGUGGAAAGAAAGAGAUCGGUUUGAAAGGUUUUCAUAUGCAUCCUUGGAACUUUGUAAGGUUUACAUGGAAAUUUCUUCCUCUUCUGGUAGCCGUCAAGAACUCUUUGCUGCUGAGAUGCACCUGAAGAACGUACUUAAACAAGUAAAAUACCUUAUAAUUCGAUAUUUAAGACACUUACAGAUGGUAUUACAUUGACAGCAGUAAAACAAAGAAGCAACUGAAAGUUAUCUUCAUAUGAGAAUGAAAGCUUUUCAGCAGCAUAAGCCUUUCACUAUUCAAUUCCAAACACGUUCCUCAACAUGAUAACAAAUUCGUAGACCUUUUCUGGGUCUGGAAGGAUCCUGUAACAGUUUCUCUUUGCAUGCACUUGUUCAUCCAUGCUGAGAAUUUGGGGCACUCAUUCUCAACCUUAAAUCCCCCAAAUUCCUCAACCGCGUAAAACCAUCAAGUCAGUGGAAUGGCAAUCACAUCAACGAAUCCAAAGCUGUCCCCGCCAAAGAAAUCCUUCUCCCCUAAAGCUCCCUCAAGUUGCUUCAAAAUCUCUAUAAAUUCAUUCUUCGCCGGGGACCUCGCCCUUCGUUUUGCAUAUGUUGCAGACUGGAUCGAAUACCUGCCAAAAAAGUGGUGUCAUCUUUUAAGUUCGCAUUUAGAAAGAUACAAACAUUUACACUUGAGAAUUAUAGACUGACCUUCUUGUCAAUAAAAUCUGCCCAGAACCUUGCCUUAGCUCUCUCAGAAGCACAGGAUGGGAGAAGUGAUGGCGAAGGCCAAGUCUCGUCAAUUUAGUUGACUAUAAUAGUGGAUUAACACAAUGGUUCCCCAUCGUGCAGCAAAACUGGGACUUUCUUGUAGAUGGGGUUUGAUUUGAGCAACAGGUCACUCUUGCCCCCGAACAAGUUCUCAGCUCUGGCUUCAUAUCCAACUCCUUUCUCAGCCAAUGCAAUCUUUGCUCUCAAGCAAAAUGGGCUAACCCAACAGUCCAAAAGAACAACCUCUCCCUUUGACAUAUUCAACUAUCAAGGUUGGUAUUUAUAUAGGAGAAAAGAUGAAAUUCCCAAAGAUUGUGUCGCAAUCAAGGUUUGUUCGUUGGCACUUCGAUAAAGGAUGUGGCCUUGUUCUUAUCAUUUCUUAGUUUUUGAAGCUAAAUGUUUUACUUGGCUUUCAACAGGCACAAGAACAAGUUUGUCUUGUGUAAAUAAAAUAAAACCAUAAAAUUCCAUUAUUAGUGUAAAACCAAAAUAAUUAAAAUAAUAAAAGUGAGUUAGUCGUGCGUGUGGACCUCCUCUUUAUGAGUUUGUUAUCACACCAUAUUUGGUUUCUAUAAAUAAAAUAACUAAAACUCUCUUAUCUAAGUAAGAAUAUUGUUAUUUUGAAAUACCAACUCAAUCUCUAACAAAUCUUGAGAUAUAACUUAAGAUUCUUGAGCUUCCAAUAUAAAACAAGUAAGAUUAACAUAACUUUUUCACUUCCUUCCAUCAAAGAAGGGAAUAAGUUAUAUAAUUUAAUUUAUGUUUAAUUAAAUUAUUUUAAAUGGGUAAUAAUUAUAAAUUUUUCCACUUUAUUUAAUUAACUAGAUAAGACCAUAUUGUAAAUUCUUACAUUUAUCACUUUAAUCUCUUUCCUUUUUCAUUCCAACUCCGGUACAAACUAUUCCUUUUCAAAAAGUUGUACUCAAAUUGAUAAGUCUUGGAAGACCAAAACACUAUUUAAAAUUUAUUAUUUGCUUUAGUAGCUUUCAUGGGUGCAAGGUAAGGAACAAAACUCGGUGGAUUUUAUGACAAAAGCUUUAUCUUAUGUAGCACUUUUUUCGAUAUCUCGAACUUUACUCUUUAAGAAUGUUGUAUAAUAUUUCUACAAUAACAACAAACAAAUUAUAACCCUGAAAGAUCUAUAUACACCUCGAUCUCUAGCUAGUUCUCUACAAAAUAUGGCACUAAGUAACAAUGUAAUCGGAGCCAUCAACUUUGUUGCCGUACUUCUUUCAAUCCCAGUCAUCGGUGCCGGAAUCUGGCUUGCCACCGAGGCAGACAAUUCUUGUGUCAAGCUUCUACAAUGGCCAGUCAUUAUUUUGGGAAUCUUGAUUCUAGUCGUGGCUCUAGCAGGCUUUAUUGGAGGAUUUUGGCGCAUCCCUUGGCUCCUUAUACUUUAUCUCGUUGCCAUGCUCAUUCUUAUAAUAUUGCUGGCUUGUCUAGUUGUUUUCAUUUACAUGGUCACGAUUAAGGGCUCAGGUCACCUUGCACCCAGUAGAGCGUACUUGGAAUACCGCCUCGAUGAUUUUUCUGGAUGGCUACGUAGAAGAGUUCGAAGCCCUUACAAAUGGGAUCGGAUCAAAAGCUGUCUCAGCUCGACACAGAUGUGCCCUGAGUUGAACCAUGUAAAAAUGAGUUGCAAAUACUGUUUGGUUACUGAGAAACAGAGAGAAAAUUGAUGAAUAUUCCAGAUCUUAUUAUUUCAUUAAUUACAAAUGAGUAAAUCACAAGUCUUUAUACUUGCAUUUCAUUAGUAAAAGCUAUUAACGAAACUGAUCUGUAUUAACUAACUAAUACUAACUAACUAAUCACGCGAACUCUCAUUGCUGCAUAACAGAAUCAGCUGACUCAGCAUUGUUGACGUGGCAUUGCUGACGCACCUUAGCUUCUGACUUCUUCUCUCUUCUUAGCUCAGCACAAUGAGCUUUCUUCACAGCCCCUCUCAAACUCAAGGGGCAUAAAUGCACAUUGAGUUUGUUCCUCAGAUAAAUGAACUGAGAAGAGUUUAAGGGCUUAGUCAUUAUGUCUGCUAUCUGUUCUGUACUAGGAACAUAUAGAAUCUUAAGAUCUCCAGUUAGAACCUUAUCUCUGAUAAAAUGCAGAUCGAUUUCUAUGUGUUUUGUUCUUGAGUGAAACACUGGAUUAUGAGCAAGAUCUUUGGCACUUACAUUGUCACACCAUAUAACUGGUUUCUCCACACGACAUAGAUUAAUCUCAAGAAACAAAGAUUUUAUCCAUGUUAUCUCUGAAACAGCUGCUGCAAGUGCUCUGUAUUCACUUUCUGCAGAAGAUUUUGUAACUACAGAUUGCUUCUUUGAGGACCAUGAGAUUAAGUUGUUUCCUAGGUACACACAAUAUGCACCAGUGGAUCUUCUGUCAUCAAGAUCACUUCCCCAGUCUGCAUCUGUAAAUGCUGUAACCUUCAGCUCACCUUUCUUAACAAAUUUCAGCCCAUAGUCUUGUGUUUCCUUCAGAUAUCUAAGCACACGUUUGCAUGCCAUAAGAUGUUGAAGUGUUGGUGAAGAUACAUACUGACUUAGCUUAUGAACUGAAUAGGCAAUUUCAGGUCUUGUCAAAACUAAAUACUGAAGACCUCCUACAAUGCUUCUGUAAUGAGAUGGAUCUUCUAUGUAAUAACCCAUUUCCCCUUCUAUAUUCUUCUGCAAUCUGUAAUCUUUGCUGCUGCUCAUUGGUGUAUCUAUUCCUUUACACUCGAGCAUAUCAGCUUUAGCCAGCAAGUCUCUGAUAUACUUCCUUUGUGAUAGAUACAUACGGCCAAGAUCAUACAAAACUUCAAUUCCAAGAAAAUAAGAUAACUUUCCCAGAUCCUUUAAUGCAAAUGCAGAACUGAAUAGCUUGAUAAAAUCUUCCAGCUCAUCACAAUUUGAUCCUGUAAUCAAUAUGUCAUCCACAUAUAUCAGGAUUAAAAUAAUUGAUCUUUUAUUCUUUUUCAAGAACAAAGAUGAGUCAGACUUAGAAUUCUCAAAUCCCCAUUGCACAAGACUGUUUCUCAGCUUGUCAAAACAUGCUCGUGGAGCUUGUUUCAAACCAUAAAGUGCCUUGUGAAGCUUGCACACAAAAUCAGGUCUUUUGGAAUCAAUAAACCCUUCUGGUUGACUCAUAUACACCUCCUCAAUUAAAUCUCCAUUUAAGAAUGCAUUAUUCACAUCAACCUGUCUUAUUUGCCACUGAUUCAUUACUGCUAGACUCAGGACUAUUCUAACUGUUGCUGCUUUCACCACUGGACUGAAAGUCUCAAAGUAGUUCACUCCUUCUAUUUGCUGAAAUCCUUUAGCAACCAACCUUGCCUUAUAUUUUGCAACACUUCCAUCAGUAUUUGAUUUCACUCGAAAUACCCAUUUGUUGCCAACAAGUUUGUGAUGUUCUGUUCUUGGCACAAGUGUCCAGGUACCAUUUGACAUUAGUGCAUCAUAUUCAGCUUUCAUUACUUGAAACCAUCUCUCAUCAUUGAUAGCCUCCUGAACUGUAUCUGGUUCUUUAUGCAACAAUACUGCAGUAUAUACCUUUGGCUUAAAGAUACCUGCUUUCCCUCUAGUGAUCAUGGGGUGUUGGUUUAGUGAUGGUGAGGUUGUCAUUGUUUGAUUGAGAUGAGGGAUAUUGUUAUUGUGUUGGUUUUGUGAAUUUUCAUUUGAGGGCUGUUCUAAUGUUGUGUCAGGUAUAGAAGGUAACAUUAUAGGUGCAGAUGGAUUAUUUCUGUCUGUGUUUGAGGGUUGUUGAUCUGUUACCUGUGUUGAGACUACUGUUGAAGGAAAAAUGUUGCCACUGGAGUAUGCUUGAGAGAAAGAUUCAUUGCUGGUGACUGAAAAAUCUGUUAUGACAGGUAAUGUUGAUAACUGGAAAACUUGUAUAGGAGUAAUUGUGCAAUAUGUAUCAGACUUAGAUUUAUUUGAAUUAUGAAAGCUAGGAUCAGCUGCAAAUGGAUAAGAGUGUUCAUCAAAGACAACAUGCCUAGCUAUAUAUAUAUGUCCAGAGGGGUGAUAACACUUGUAGCCUUUAUGAGAUGGACUAUAACCAAGAAAAAUGCAUUUGGUUGUGUGAUAGUCAAACUUGUGCUUAUUGUAAUCUCUCAGAUAUGGAUAACAAGCACAUCCAAAGCAUUUCAGCAUUUUAUAAUCAGCCUUGUGUUUAUAAAGCUUUUCAUAUGGAGUAGACAUCUUAAGUGCAGAAGUAGGGAGUCUAUUAAUGUGAUAGACUGAGGCAUGAAAAGCAUCCCACCAGAAUUGAAAAGGGAGUUUGGCUUGAGCUAGAAGUGUCAGUCCUAAUUCUACAAUUUGUCUGUGUUUUCUUUCAACAAGUCCAUUCUGAUGAUGAGUGUAAGGGCAAGAGUGUCUAAAGAGAAUGCCACAUUCAUUUAGAAAGGCAGUAAAUGGUCUGUAUUCUCCCCCCCAGUCAGAUUGUAGAAUUUUGAUAGAAGUUUGAAAUUGUUUUUCAACUUGAAGUUUGAACAGCUUGAACACUUCUAGAGCUUCUGAUUUAAGUUUCAAAGGAUAAAUCCAGGUGUAUCUGGUAUGAUCAUCCACAAAGCUAAUGUAAUAUCUAAAGCCAUCUCUAGAAUAUGCUGGUGAGGGACCCCAUAGAUCAGUGUGAACAAGUUCUAGAGCUGAUGUGGAUUUGAUAUCAGUGAUUGGAAAAUGAAGUUUAUGAAAUUUUCCUAGUUGACAUGCUUCACAGAAAUGCUUUGUAGCUUGAUUAACAAUAUUUGUAGAGCACAAAUUGGGAUGCACAAGCUUAAGCAAAUGAAUUAGACUUUGAGUAUUAGGAUGACCAAAUCGUUUGUGGAGUAAAGACAUUUUAUUGAAUGAAUUAGUGCUACAAGUAUUCUUAUUUGACUGAAAACAUUUUCCAGAACAAGAACUAUUAACUGAAGUGCUGAAAUAACACUGAGAUAGCAUGGACACAGGCUUAUUUAUUGAGCUCUGAGAUAGAAAAGAGGUAAAUGUAGAUUGUGAUGAUGAACUCAGCUGCAAUUUGUAUAAACCUUUCUCAGCAAUACCCAGUAGCAGAAUUUUCCCUUUCAGUAUAUCCUUCACAAAGCAAACAGAACCAAGGAAUUCAACAGAUAAGUCAUUAUCAGUGGUCAGUCUAGAAACACUUAUUAAAUUCUUUGUAAUAGAUGGAACAAGCAGUAUAUCUUUAAGUGCAAUGCAUGUACUUGCAUAUUGUAUUUUAGAGCUUUGAAUUGUAAGAUUGGCAUUACCAACAUGUGUGAUUGACAAACCUUUACCAUCACCAAUGAUAAGCUUGUCAUUACCUCUAAACUCAUUGCUGACAUGCAUAUUUGCCAUACUAUUUGUUAGAUGAUGUGUAGCUCCACUGUCAAGGUACCAUCCUUCAUCUGUUGGUCCUUCAAAGUUAGCAGCAUAAGCAGCUCCAGCUCCACUCACAGGUGAGCUCAUUGAGUCAGAUAUGUAUGAAGAAUAUGGUGUAUUAUACACGUGAGGUAUCCCUGAAUAAUCAGCUGCAGCAGGCCAUGAAUCUUCAGUAGGUGCAUUAAAAUAUGUCAUAUAGGCUGAUCUCUGAUUUCUUCCUCUUUUCAUGUGUUGAGGUAUAUAAUUUUCUUCAAACCUAUGCCAACAUUCUACUGCUGUGUGUCCAGAUUUAAAACAGAUCUGACAAACAACAGUCUGUUCCUCAUUACCAUCAGAAUUCGACAAACCAGAAUUAACACUAUAUUGUCCUCUCAUGAAUUGUGCCUGCUUAUUAUUGUUUCCAAUCAUUUGACCUCUGCCAAGAUUAUUACCAAGAUUUCCAGAUCCAGAGGGAAAGCCUCUUGGAUGAGAAUUGAUAAACAUUCCUCUUCCAGUAUGAAAAUUGUUUCUUCCAAAUUGAUUUCCACCAUGAAAUCCUCCAUUAUAUCCACCUCUUCGAGCACUACCUCUUGUUUGAGCAUAAUAAGCAUUCAUCAUACCAUAGCCAUUAUUAUUAUGAGAAACAUUAGCAAGAUUUGCAUUGAACAUCUGUUUUUCAUUUAGACUCUGUUCUAAUCUUGUUUCAUGCGUGAGCAGCAAUGCAUAGGAAUCAUCAAAAUCUAGCUUACUAGCAGUAAUGAAAGUUGCUAAAUCUAGAUAGCCUGGUCCAAGACCAUUAAGGAUCUGUUGUAACAGAUCUUUGUCAGAAACUGGACUACCAGCACAGGCUAAUUUAUCUGCUAUUUGUUUCAUUUUCAAACAAUAAUCUUCUACAUUUAGUGAAUCUUUUCUCAAAACACUCAUCUCAUAUUUGAGUUGAAGAACUCUAGCUUCAGAUUUUGCACCAAACUUUUUCUCCAAUGUUUUCCACACAUCAUAUGCAGUAUUACAAGAAUGAACAUGACUGAGAAUACCUUCAGUGAUUGAGCUUAAUAGCCAGCUUAGUAAUGUCUGAUCCUGUGACCUCCAGAUUAUAUAUUCUGGAUUUUCAACUUGUUGUGUAACUCUUCCCAUUGUUUCAGCAUAGCUUCCUGAAGUAAGAAAUUGAGUAGGUGCUGCCUUUUCUCCAUUGAUGUAGCCUUCAAGUCUGUUUCCUCUUAUAGAAGCUAAUACUUGAUUUCGCCAGAGCAUAUAAUUGGAUCUAUCCAAUUUGAUUGGCGUAAUGAAUGAGAAGGUAGUUUGUAUUGAUUGAUUCAUGUUUGUUGUGUUUGGAUUUGUGUUUAAAUUGCUUGAGCUUACCAUAUUUCUGGCUCUGAUACCAUGUAAAAAUGAGUUGCAAAUACUGUUUGGUUACUGAGAAACAGAGAGAAAAUUGAUAAAUAUUCUAGAUCUUAUUAUUUCAUUAAUUACAAAUGAGUAAAUCACAAGUCUUUAUACUUGCAUUUCAUUAGUAAAAGCUAUUAACGAAACUGAUCUGUAUUAACUAACUAAUACUAACUAACUAAUCACGCGAACUCUCAUUGCUGCAUAACAGAAUCAGCUGACUCAGCAUUGUUGACGUGGCAUUGCUGACGCACCUUAGCUUCUGACUUCUUCUCUCUUCUCAGCUCAGCACAAUGAGCUUUCUUCACAAACCAGAGUUAUAGGAUGGCUCAAGAUUUCUUCAAUGCACAUAUUACCCCUUUACAGGUAAUUAUAAUUAAUUAAGUUCUCGAUUACCAUUAAUUUUAUUUUAUUUUUUUCCAUUAAUUUCUAGAAAUUAAGAUUUAUUAGAACUCUAAAGUUAAAUUCUGAUUAAAAUUUUAAUUUUUAACGUACACAUUCCUCUUUAUAAUUAUGACCGUACGUAAUUUUAUAGCAGAGGAUAAUUCCUACCCAUUAAUUAAGCUAACCCACACGCCCAUGGAACAAUGAAGAAGUAGCUAAUAAAGUAAAAACACUGUAUUAGAUUCGGAAAACCAAGUUUCAAAUCUUCUUUUCAAAAAUAUUCUUCGUCUUUAUCUUUAUUGCGUGCCUUUGUGCUUUUUUUUUUCUAUUUAUUUAUUUUUCUUGUUUACAGUCUGGAUGUUGUAAGCCUCCGACAGAGUGUGGUUACACAUUUGUAAACCCAACAUAUUGGAUAAGUCCAAUUAACAACGCGGCGGACAUGGAUUGCCUACAGUGGAGCAAUGACCAAAUGCAGCUUUGCUAUAAUUGUGAUUCAUGCAAAGCAGGAUUACUUGCUAAUCUGAAAAAGGAGUGGAGAAGAGUAGAUAUCAUAUUACUCGUUACUCUUGUUGCUUUGAUAUGGGUUUAUCUGAUUGGAUGUUGUGCUUUUAGGAACGCCAAAACUGAAGACCUCUUUCGCAAGUACAAGCAAGGCACUUACACGUAAUUGUUAGCUGCACGUAAACUCUCUUUGAUAGUAAUAUUAAUGUGUAAUUAGGGACUGGCUUGAAUUGUUAUUUUGAUAAUUUUAUGAAUUUUUUGUUUAAGAUCCGUCUUCUUGGUUACUUACAUUUGGUUAAAUUAUGUGUGGGGUUUGAUUUGAUGACGACAUAAUCUUGAGUUGUGCGUGCGUGAUUUGUGGAGGGCGCCGAAAGUAGGUGGCUUUUGAAUAUUUGCUUUUUAAGGAGAAGGGAUUUCGCACUUCCGCUCCCUGCUUGCUCGCAUAGGGCAUUAAUUGUAGCUUUGAAAAAAGUUCUGCUUCAGCAUGCGCAAAAGUCAAAGAAAUGGGACAUGUGCUCAUGCAUUAUGCAGCCAGCAUAUGGGUGAUAGCAGACGUAUUUAAUCUUUUAGUCUUUGUUGACAACUCAGCCUCUCUCUCUCUCUCUCUCUCUCUCUCUCUCUCUCUCGCUGUGUCUCUGCGUCAGGGAUCUGAUUUGUGGGAAGAUAGAUAUCGGUUUAAAAGGUUUUCAUAUGCAUCCUUGGAACUUUGUAAGGUUUACAUGGAAAUUUCUUCCUCUUCCAGUGGCCGUCGAGAACUCUUUGCUGCUGAGAUGCACCUGAAGAACGUCCUUAAACAAGUAAAACACCUUAUAAUUCGAUAUUUAAGACACUUACAGUUGGUUUAAAGAUUGCAUUUUCCGUUUCUGUUUUUGACUGGUUCAGGGUAAAACUUUUUCUCACUGUGUUAGAGUGCAUUUCUGUUAUUAUAUAGUACCUGUCAAAAUUUUCCAUUCCAAUUAGUUACAGAGUGAAUUCUGUAAGGUGUGGCGCCCCCUUGAAGGCCAGGAGAGCCGUGUUUAGGGCUUAUCACCCCUCCAAGGUGUAAUCCCUUGUAUCCCUGUAGCUUAUACCAGAGGUCCGGAGUACUGCAGACUUGUGGAGAUACGGGGCUAUGAGUUUCCAUCUUUCGGACAUCACAACACUUGUUCUGGAGAAAUUAUGGGUUUAUUUCAGAACAGAGGAAGGUUACUUCAUUAAGAGGAAUGAGAGAUUUACAAUACACUAGAUUUAGGCUCCAAGACUCGAUGCCUAGAUACAAACCAAGGGUUCCCUUUUAUAGGCACAAGGGAACCACUAUUACACACUGUAGUCAUUAUUGAUCCUUAUCUCUAAGGAAUCUAUUUUACAACUCACUCCUUACUUUAUGUCACACUCAUACUCUCAUCCUUAUCACAAAGGAUGGUACACAAUACAUACGAAUACAAAUACAUAUAUUAUUAUUAUUAGAGAUACAAAUACAUAUAUUAUUAUUAUUAAAUAUACAAAUACAUAUACGAAUACAAAGGAUGGUACACAAUACACUCUGAUAAUAAUAAUAUAUGUAUUUGUAUUCGUAUGUAUUGUGUAUCAUCCUUUGUGAUAAGGAUGAGAGUGUGAGUGUGACAUAAAGUAAGGAGUGAGUUGUAAAGUAGAUUCCUUAGAGAUAAGGAUCAAUAAUGACUACAGUGUGUAAUAGUGGUUCCCUUGUGCCUAUAAAAGGGAACCCUUGGUUUGUAUCUAGGCAUCGAGUCUUGGAGCUUAAAUCUAGUGUAUUGUAAAUCUCUCAUUCCUCUUAAUGAAGUAACCUUCCUCUGUUCUGAAAUAAACCCAUUUUGGUAUCAGAGCCAUAUUUCCCAAAAGGAAACCCCUGGGUGUGCAACAAUAUUAUGCUCUGUGGUUGCCGAAACACUUCGGAUCCUCCACAUCAGAAAGUUGUUGAAUACUGAUCUACCUGUCAAAAUUUUCCAUUCCAAUUAGUUACAGAGUGAAUUCUGUAAGGUGUGGCGCCCCCUUGAAGGCCAGGAGAGCCGUGUUUAGGGCUUAUCACCCCAAAGAAAACCCUUUGUUUUCUCUUAGCCAUGGAAAACUCAAACAGUAAUAGAUCUGGAAACCAAACAGUUUCUGACCAAGGAUCCACUUCGGCUAUCAGAGUUCUAACUGAUAGUUCACCCUCUAUAAACUUCCAUUACGAAACCCAAGAGGAUGAAAGCAGUGAGAGAGCGGUUCAGUCCUUUAGACUUGAUCCGUUAGAUCCCUAUAGAUACUACCAUAUCAAUUCUACUCUUAAUCAAUUAAGAGCCAUAAUUCCUAUUAGACAACCCAAGCUUAAAACCAUCUAUAAAUCCUCUGAGAUUACUGUCCAGUUCAUCUCCUCCAGUUCUAAAGAAACAUACCUUCCUAUAAUCUCUACCAAUGAGGUUACAAGGUAUAAGCUACAGGGAUACAAGGGAUUACACCUUGGAGCAAUCUAGAUAGGAAUACAACCAUUGUUCCUAGCUGGAAAAGAUAUCACAUGCUUCAUUGCCAUCCUUGACACUAGAUGGCAAACUUUUGAGAAAGCCUUGAUCACUGCUGUCGAAGCAGGACUCAACCAAGGUCAUGUUGUUCUCCAAGUUGAACCCAACUUCACCCUUGACAUACACAAGCCAUUUCUCACAGAUGCCAUUAAGGUAUUAAUUCAGGUCAAUGGUCUAACCAUAAAACCUGAUGAAUCUGCCUUGGCAAUUCACCACACCAUGACCUAUAAAGUCCAAACCCAUCUGUUCUCUAUGAGCAGCUCUGGCAGGCCCAUUACCAGAUUUCUUGCUGGUGAUGGCAGAGUCUUUCAACCUCGGACUUAUAGGCAAAAUCAGCUCAUUUUUCUACCUCAAUGGAUCAAUGAGUAUGAAAAAAACAGCAAGCCUCAACAAAUCCAUGAGGUUCCAAAGAUAAGCCGGUUACAAGAAGGAAGGGUAUCAGUCUCUUUUCCCACUGAGACUAAAGCCCUCUAUCCAUGUGAAAAAUGCCAGCUUGAAGGAAGGCAUCCCUCCUUGUGCACUCAUAUGCCAAGAAGAAUCACCUCCUGCAGAAUCAUGGGUCCAAUUAACAUGAUCACCACUCCGGAUCUUGAUAAUGAAUUCCUCAAGGAUAUUCCUGGAGGAAUGUAUGUUGCCAAAUGGGUAAUACAAAAAACCAACCCAACUGAAUUUGGCCCAAUUGAGAAGGCGAUCAACUGGUCAAACAUCAAUGCUGUUGAACAGAACCAAGCGUUGGGAGACAUCAUGGUUACCCAACAGCAAAUUCUUGCUGACUUAGCUGUUAUCAGAAAACAGCUAAAGAAAACCAGAAAACAGCAUAAGGUGACUACCCAGCAGUUUUCCCAAAUGCAUGACAGUGCCUCCAGAUCUAUCAACAUGAUCGUAAUGACCGGAGCUGCAGAUGAGGACGGAAUGAGAAGAACCAGAGAAAGCUAUCAAAGGACAAAAGUGUCCAGGCACUGGAAGAGCAAGCCCACAAAGCCAUGGCAUGUCUGGGAAGAAAAUGCAUCUGGCAACUGUCAAAAGGCAUUUUGGAGAAGCUAUGCUCCACCUCCACAAUAUCCAUGGCCCACUAAGGCUACAGGAUGGGAUGAGGAUAAAGAUACGGAUACUGAAACAAGUAUCUCCUCUGAUGACCAGAUCCCUCUUAUACCAAUUCUUAUGCAAAGAGCAAAUCCUCCAAAUCCAUUCUAUGUGGAUACUCGAGCUAGAUUUGCAGCAUCCACACCAACACAGGGUCAAACCUCUGAUCCUACAAGACAAGAGCAAACUCAACACCCAUCAGGAACAACCCAGUUCACUGCCCCAGAAUUCGCUAAUCCUGCUGCCCAACCAGAAGCAUCUGGAGUAGAAUCCACAAAUCAAGAAGACAGGGCACCACAUAUUGAUGAGGUAAAUCAGGGAGACGAAUGGGAAACCCGUGUCCAACUUGGGCAUUCUACGACGGGAAAAAUGUUCUGGAACAUCGAUAGAAUGAAGCCAAAAGAAAUAUUGGCUUACUUUGAAAAGAUGGUAGCUUGGUAUGAAGGAGAAUGCCAACGAACUCCCCAGUUGAGCAGAAGAUCGGCAGCAAUGAGACUUGUUGCAGGAUUCGUUGGAUCAUUGAGAAGAUGGUGGGGAAGAAAGCUCAGCAGAGAACAAAAGGAAUUCAUACUCAGCAGAGAAGACCCUUGUGGAAGCUUGGUAGAAAAUCUAUCCUUGGAUUUUCUCGGCCAACACACAAGAGAAGAAGAAGUAGCUGAAAAACAAUUUCUCCAGAACAAGUGUUGUGAUGUCCGAAAGAUGGAAGAGUACUACCUAGAGCAAGAAAGGUUGUACUACAUCUUUGACAAACAAACUGACACCAUCCACAGAACAUUCGUGCUAAACAUGCCAGGCCCAGUAGCGGAAAUGAUGGAGGCUAAAUUCAAAGCUGAUGCAAUUGUUGAUUUAGCACAGCUUAGCCUUGCUCAGCUCUAUCAGAUAUCUAUGGAGCUGAUCCAAAGUCAUUGCAGAUCUCAAGACUUAAGAAGGCACAUGAAGCAGAUUGAGAAAUCCUCUCUGCAAAAAUUCUGUAAUGAGGAACCAAACAAAUUUGGUUGCCACCAUACAGACAAAAUGUGCUCUUGCAAGAACAACAGGCAGAAAAGGCCAAAGAAACCCUGGAAGCCCUACAAAGGAAAGAAAUACCGUUUCAUCAAAAAACGAAAACAAAAGAAAGGCUCGGGGAGAUGUUUCAUUUGCGGAAAGAAAGGUCACUAUGCCAAACAGUGCAAAUCCAAGAAAAGACUUCCAGCAAAACUUCUCCAGAUGAUCCAGCAGGAAGAUUUUGAUGAUGACAUCUAUACCUGGUCAGAUAGCCCUACGGUGUUGUAUACACAAUGGAUAAAUAUCCUCUUUCAGACGACGAUGAUACAGAUUCUCUUUCUAGCACUGACAGUGAUUCUGAUGAUGAUCCUGUCAUGACCAUCCAUGAGCCUCUCCAAGCUAACCUGGCAAUGGCCCCUGCCUCUCUCUUCAGACCACAUAUAAAGGUUAUCCUCAACCCAUCUGAGGAUAAACAGGUAGCACUCACUGCUCUUAUUGACACUGGAGCAAUGUGCUCAUUCAUUCGAGAAGCUUGUGUUCCUUCCACCUUUUAUGUUCCUACUAAGGUCUCGUUUGGCUCCGCUAGUGGAAGUAACUUCUCCAGUAAAAAGAUUACCCGGCCUAUAGAAAUCCAGCCCUUUAUGAUAAGGCAUGGCUUCUUUGCCUUUGAUUAUUCAGGCGAAGAUAUCUUGCCAGGCACCGACUUUUUAAGUCUGAUUGCCCCUUUUGCCUUCUUUCCCGAUGGCUUCUCUUAUACCAUUCGGAAUCCUCACACGGGCACCACUAACACUUUCUGGGUACCCUGGGUUGAAAAACAAUCCAUUUUUGGGGAGGGUGGAAAACUACAAAAUUACACCAUCCAUAAAUAUGAACCCCAAAUUAAAGAACUCCUUGAAUGCUGUGCAGAAGUGCCAAACCAGUUUUGGGCUAGAGAACAACAUUUUGUGUCUCUACCAUACAAGGAUGGAUGGACCAUGCCUCACCAGACGGCCUCUCAUCCAGGCAUUCCUCAUGACGAAGAACUAUGCAAAACAGAGAUCCAGGCUCUUAUGGAUCUAGAGCUCAUCAGGCCCUCUAAGUCUCAUUGGGCUAGCCCAGCAUUUUAUGUCAACAAGCAUUCAGAACAGAUACGUGGAAAAAAGCGAUUGGUAAUUCACUACAGAAAACUGAAUGAUUGCUUGCAGGACAUAAGAUACCCCAUUCCACGGAGGACACACAUUUUAAAACGCAUUGCUGGUGCAAAAGUGUUUUCAAAGUUUGACAUGAAGUCAGGCUUUUGGCAAAUUGGGAUUAAAGAAGAAGACAGACACAAGACAGCAUUUGUGGUCCCCCACGGGCAUUAUGAAUGGAAUGUGAUGCCUUUUGGCCUAAAGAAUACACCGUCAGAAUUCCAAAACAGAAUGGAUGAGGUGUACAAAUCUAUCUCAGGAUUUUGCCUUAUCUACAUUGACGAUGCUCUUAUCUUCAGCAACAGUGAAGAAGAACAUGCUGAACACCUGUCCCAAUUCAAGGCACUAACCUAUAAACAUGGGUUAGCUUUGUCAGAAUCCAAAAUGAAGAUAGGCCUUGAUGAGGUGGACUUUCUAGGAUUACACAUCAAGCAGAGAUUCAUCAUUCCUCAGCCACAUAUAGCUGAAAAAAUAUCCCAAUUCCCAGACCAGCUGUCAACCAGAAAGCAGAUCCACCAGUUCCUCGGGAUAAUCAACUAUGCAGCAGACCAUGUGCAGGAUCUGUCAAAGAUGACGAGAGUCAGAUAUCAAAGCACUUAAAGAAGAGUGCCCCACAAUGGUCGGAAGACGCAACAAAAGCAGUGACAGACUUAAAGCAAAAGUGCCAGUCACUUCCACCAUUAAAGAUACCUGACAAGGGACAGCUCAUCCUCCAGACAGAUGCAAGUGACCAUUAUUGGGGAGCACUGUUGAUAGAGGAAUCCGAGGGAAACAGAAAAGUGUGUGGCUAUAAAUCAGGCCAGUUCAACGAUGCUCAAAGCCACUACCCCUCCUCCAAAAAAGAAGUCUUAGCAGUUGUCAAAGGGAUCAAAAACUUUCAAUUCUUUCUUUCACUAACUCCCUUUGUGAUUGAAACAGACUACAAAUACCUACAGGGAUUACUCAGGAGAAAAGAAGGAGAAAUACCAGAUCCACAGCUUGCAAGGUGGUCUGAGUCUCUCUCGAGAUUCAAGUUUGAAGUAAAGCACAUCAAAGGAGAAUCCAACACUGUUGCGGAUUUCCUUUCCAGACCGAUCACCAUGAUCAAAAGAAGAAGCCUUCCAAAAAGAUGGGACGAAGGCAGUUCUAGUGCUCACGCAGCCCGAGCACACUUUCUCAAAGAUCUUAACAUCUUCAUUGCUUGGCUUCCUUCGGAAGUUCAAGAUGACAUCUUUGAGAAAGUCAUCUGCCACAAAAGAGAUCCAGAAGAUCAAGCUCUGACAUGGCGGGUAUGGCAGCUCAUGGCCAUGCAGGAACACAGACCUGCCCAUAACAAACAAUGUCAAAGAGCUUUUGAUCCACAUCCAAAUCCUGACCAGAUGCAUGAAACGGUCUUCAAGGUCGGUUGCACCUUCCACUAUGUAAUAGACGAGAACUCCAACUGGGGUCACUAUGUUAUCUGCGAUAUAACCCCUCAAGCCUAUUACAUAACUUGGUACUGGCCCAACAUUUACCCAGUGGCAAUCCUGUUUGAACCACAUCUGAUCCAUACCAGCAGGAGAUAUGGGAAGGGAAGAUGGUUCGACCGAAUGUUCGCUCCUAUCUUCGAAGACAUCCUAACACUCCGGCUAAUCAACGGAUAUCACAUCACUCACUCUACUAUAGUGAUUGUGAAACUCACAGAUAUCUGGGGAAGAUACAAGCAGCCUCUUGUGCAGGUGGUCCAGCAUGACCUCAACCAUGAAGAAAUUGAUUCCAUGUGGACAGGCUGUUGGAAUGCUAGAAAAGCUUUAGCUGAGGUAUACGGAACUAUUCCAAUGUAUAAUACUCAUAGCCCCGUAUCUUCACAAGUCUGCAGUACUCCGGACCUCUACUACAGAGAGGAGAUCAGGAAUCUCAAGCUUCAUGGAGAAGAAGAUGAAGCAGCAGACUUGCAGCAGUGGUAUAAUGAUUACCUCACUCGCCAUGGCAGGCCAAAAGAAGUCACUUAUCUGGACACUCCAGAUAUUGAAAGAUGGAGGAACGAGCUUGAAGAAAUGGCCCAUUGGCUAGACCUCCAAGAUUGGCCCCAACCUGAGUUAGACCCCCAGCCGGAUAACAUUGAAGAUCCCAUAUGGCCAAAUAUGGGAGAAGAUAUGGAUGCAGCAUCCGAAGAACGAUGGAACCACAGGUCAGGACGUAGCACACCAACAAGUGGCAACUCUGGACUAUAGCGGAAGCUUAGUGGACCCUACAGUGGAAGCAAUGGUGAUAAUAAUAUAUGUAUUUGCAUUCGUAUGUAUUGUGUACCAUCCUUUGUGAUAAGGAUGAGAGUGUGAGUGUGACAUAAAGUAAGGAGUGAGUUGUAAAGUAGAUUCCUUAGAGAUAAGGAUCAAUAAUGACUACAGUGUGUAAUAGUGGUUCCCUUGUGCCUAUAAAAGGGAACCCUUGGUUUGUAUCUAGGCAUCGAGUCUUGGAGCCUAAAUCUAGUGUAUUGUAAAUCUCUCAUUCCUCUUAAUGAAGUAACCUUCCUCUGUUCUGAAAUAAACCCAUUUCAUGGUUAGACCAUUGACCUGAAUUAAUACCUUAAUGGCAUCUGUGAGAGAUGGCUUGUGUAUGUCAAGGGUGAAGUUGGGUUCAACUUGGAGAACAACAUGACCUUGGUUGAGUCCUGCUUCGACAGCAAUGAGAAGAAAAUGCACUUUUUGGAAUCUCAGGCUGAAGGAUUUUUGGUGCUUUAACUAAUCUCAUUUGACAAUGUAAAUAUAUGGCUUCAAUUUCUUUAAAUGUAAUAGCAAGUGUUGUUUUCGACCUCUGUUCUUUUAUGCAUUGCUUACAUGCCGUGAUUUCAUUAACCUAAAUUUAAGAACUGUUUGAGGGAAAUACAUCGAGGAGACCAGACGUGAUGAGCAGGUGUUUGGUGGUGGAGUUCUGCGAGCAGGAAUAUUCUCCUCGUCCACGAAUAUGCCAUUCGCGAGACCGAAUUCAUGUUAGAGGCAUAAGGUCAUUCCUGCUAAGGGUCGAGGCGAGGAGACCCGGUCAACGGCAGUUGGCAAGACGUGCCUUCCUAUCCGAGAAUCAAGGCACGAGGUCCAUCUCCAUUUGCCCACAAUGACGACAAUGGGGCAUCCACAUCCGAGGGUGGGGAGAAUAACGGGCGUAAACUGCGGAAGAUCGGGACUCAGAGGAAGCCUAUAAAAAGGUAGCCAACAAAGGUAAAAGGGUUAGAUUUUUUGCUAUUUGAACUAAGAAAAUAGAGAACUCGAAGGUCUGAGAUUAGUGAAAAGCCAUAAGAUCCGUGGCAAGCAUUCCCAGAACCUUCAUAUCUGACUUGAGCGUCGGAGGGUUUACGCCGGGAAAACAACCGGCGUGCUCUGACCUGUUUCUGUGGACGCAAGGAUACUUAGAGAAGAAAGCGUACGAGGAGAGAUCCUGAUCGAGGUGAGGUUGAUCGAGCAGACAUCCUGGUCGUUGGAAGGUGUAACCAGAAUCUCGCAUCAACAAGAACAAUUUCAUAUAAUUUUUUUUCUGCUUUUCUUUUAUCAUUUAAAAACAAUACUACGCACACACACACGCAUAUAUUUCAGAAAGCAUUUAAACAAAGCAACCGAACGUUGCUGGUUUCUAUUAUUACAUCGACAACAAUAAAGCAAAGAAGCAACUGAAAGUUAUCUUCAUAUGAGAAUGAAAGCUUUUCAGCAGCAUAAACCUUUCACUAUUCAAUUCCAAACAUGUUCCUCAACAUGAUAACAAAUUCGUAGACCUUUUCUAGGUCUAGAAGGAUCCUGGCAACAGUAUCUCUUUGCAUGCACUUGUUCAUCCAUGCUGAGAAUUUGGGGCACUCAUUCUCAAGCUUAAAUCCCCCAAAUUUCUCAACCGCGUAAAACCAACAAGUCAGUGGAAUGGAAAUGACAUCAACGAAUCCAAAGCUAUCCCCGCCAAAGAAAUCCUUCUCCCCUAAAGCGCCCUCAAGUUGCUUCAAAAUCUCUAUAAAUUCAUUCUUCGCGGUCUCUGGGACCUCGCCCUUGCUUUUCCAUAUGUUGCAUACUGCAUCGAAUACCUGCCAAAAAAGUGGUGUCAUCUUUUAAGUUCACAUUUAGAAAGAUACAAACAUUUACACUUGAGAAUUAUAGACUGACCUUCUUGUCAAUAAAAUCUUGCCUUAGCUCUCUCAUAAGCACAGGAUGGGAGAAGUGGUGGCGAAGGCCAAGUCUCGUCAAUGUAGUUAACUAUAAUAGUGGAUUCACACAAUGGUUUCCCAUCGUGCAGCAAAACUGGGACUUUCUUGUAGAUGGGUUUGAUUUGAGCAACAGGUCACUCUUGCCCCCAAACAAGUUCUCAGCUCUGGCUUCAUAUUCAACUCCUUUCUCAGCCAAUGCAAUCUUUGCUCUCAAGCAAAAUGGGCUAGCCCAACAAUCCAAAAGAACAACCUCUCCCUUCGACAUAUUCACUUUCUUUGUUCUUGUUUCUUUUACUUGGUUGAUAGUAAUUAAACCUUGAGUAUCAAGGUUGGCAUUUAUAAAGGAUAAAAGAUGAAAUUCCCAAAGUUUGUGUCGCAAUCAACGUUUGUUCGUUGGCACUUCCUUAAAGGAUGUGGCAUUAUUCUUAUCAUUUCUUAGUUUUUGAAGCUAACUGUUUUACUUGGCUUUCAACAUGCACAAGAACAAGUUUGUCUUGUGCAUACGGAGUUUACUAUGGACAAGCCGAAUUGUAAGUAACCAUUUACACUAAUCAAUCGGUAUUGUCCAAUGAAAAUAAGUAAUGUAAACUUAUCAAAAAAAAAAGUAAUGUAAAAAGUGUCUAGGAUUUUGCCUAAUAUUUCUUAAAAUAGGCUAAUUAAGCCCAAUUCUGGUGCUAGAUUGGUUCAACUUUGAAUCAAACUUGGAAACAUUUUGCUUUAGAUUAUUAUUAUUAAUUUAGAAGAGUCAAAAAGCUAAGAGUAUCGUUGGUAAAGCUCAAACAUGUGUAAUAUCACAUAUUACUUCUUUUUUUUUUUUAUACAAGUAAUAUCACAUAUUACUAGUGAGUGAGUUUCAUAAACUUUCCUAUUGAAAAAGACACAUUUUGGGUUGUAAAUCCUAACACAAUAUUUAUUCAGUUGUUGAGCCUGAAAUAUUACAGAUAUAUCAAAUAUUAUUUGAUGUGGGCGCACAACCCUGCGUCUUCUUAAUUAGGACAACCAAUGAAACCCUGCGUCUUCUUACAUAACUUGUAUGUACACAUUGGCGGGAUAUCCCAAUUAUGUACUCGUUUGUCUUCAUGUGUUUUAAAAAAAUCUAUUGUAAUGGAUAUAUUGUAAAUUUAUCUAAUUGCUUGUUAUAAUGCUUCUAUUGCGGUGUUAUUCGAGCUGUCAUUUUCAGUUUUAUUUUGUUUUUUCUUUAAACAUAGUUAAUUUGAAAUCCAUUACACUUGAAUCAUCAAAUAAGUGAUUCUCGAACAUAAUUGCUGUUGUUACUCGAAUAAGAAAAGAAAACAAAGUAUAGCUAAGAUAAAAGCAAAUGGAAAUGAGAGCAACGUGAUUUUGCAAAGAGAACUUCACACUAUCAUAAAACCAAAAACAUUAAAAUUUAAAACUUAAAUAACAACACACCAAAGCCAAAUAACGACCCACUAGAAUCAUGGUCCAAAGAUUGUACCAUGAUCACAACAUGAACUACAAAAAAAUAACCAACACCUGAAAAGUAGGAACAGUUUGAAACUUUCAACUAAAGUGGGAAAGACCAGGAUGGCACUGCAUGCCCAGCCCACCAACAUUAAAUGCUUUUUUCCCUUAUAAUUUAUCAGUCACAUAAUUUAGAGUGAAGACUUUAAUGCUGUGUUUACUUGCUGGAGUGGGAGUGAGGAGUGUGGAUUCCUCCCACUCCAGCGUUUACUUUCUCUGAAUGGGAAGGGAGUGGGAAUUCCACUCCGUGGGCCCCACCCAUUUUUGGAGUGGGGAGUGGGAGUGGGACUCCCAUAUUCCCACUCCCACCUCUCCCUUUUUUACCCUUUUAUUUUUUUAAUUUAAUUUAAUUUAAUAUUUUAUAAUUAAUAAAAUAAAAUAAAUAUUAUUAUAUUUAUUUGAAUAAUAAUAUUAUAUUUAACUAAAUAAUAAUUUGCAUUGAUUCUAAGUUAAAAUUAUUUUAAAAUAAUAUUAUUAUAUUAAUAGAGAAUUAAUAAAUAUAAUAUUAUUAUAUUUAUUUUAAAAAUAAUAGUACUAUAUUUAUUUAAUAUUAAUAAAUAGUUUAUUCUAAGAAAAUAUUAAUUUUGUACUAAAUAAUAUUAUAUUAUUAUUUUAUAUAAUAAUAAAUUUAAUAUAAUUAUAUUAAAUAAAAUAAGGUUUCAUUUUGUAUUAAAAUUAAUAAUUUAUUGUUGAUAAUUAAGAAUAUUAAUAAUUAUAAUAAAUUUACAAAUAUAAUAAAAUAAAUAUUAUUCAUUAAAUAUAUUUUUUAUUAGUUUUGUAAUUAAAAAUUAUAAUUCUUUAAAUAAGAAUAAAAUUGUAAUUUGAAACUAUUUACUCCCAAUCCAAGACAAAGUAAACACAUAAAUUGGAUUUUGAUCUCUAUUCCAUGCUUCCAUUCCAGUGUAAGUAAACAACCUACUCUCACUCCCACUCCACACUCUCAAUCCUAGGAUUUCCACUCCUCAGGAUUCCCAAUCCAAUCCAAAAAGUAAACGCUACCUAAAAGCAAAUAAAUGAAUUGGCUGAAUCUAGCUAGGAUGCCAGGAUGGGCACGGAUCCACAGAUAACAAGUAACAGUCUUUAAAUCUUCUGUUGUAAGUUCUUACGCCCCUUUUUUUUUAUACGACGAACCCCCGAUUCUACCCUCCAAAAUCAACAAUAGAGAAUUUAGUCUUAGCCUCUCAAGAUGCACUCAAACCUAAGGAUGGCAAUGGAUCAGAUCUGACCCAAGAUCCAUGUGAUCCAAAUCCAAUUGGAUCGAAUUUGGGUCGGAUUAAAAUAGAUUUGGAUCGGAUUUGGAUAUCGAUGCGUGGAUCUAAGGCGGAUCUGGAGCAAAUUCAGAUUUAUCUUAAUAUCUAUAUCCAAAUCCAUAUCCACUCACCAUUUAAUGUAAUUUUAUUUUAAAAAAUUCUUAACAAUUAUGUAAUUAUAAAUGAUGAUAAAAUUUAUUCAUUAGCAUGUAUUUAAGAAUCUUAAAACUUAAAGGUACUUAAUUGAUAAUAAGAUAAAAAUUUAUCAAGUGUAAAAUAAAAUUAGGAUAGUCUGCCCUAAUUUUUUUAAGUUUUUCACUCUACAAUUUAGUCUCUUUUUUCCUCUUUAGUCUACUCUCGCUUCUCCACUUCAUUUGAAUGCUUGGAUCAGUUCUUUAAUUGUUAGGAAAAUCCAUAGACUUGAGUUUAUUUUUCUAUCAUUUUCUCAUAAUCUUAUUUAUUUUGUAUAAUCACUAAUCAAUGGUGGCUAUCAACUAUAAAAUAAUUAUGUUAAUCAUAUAUUUAGUUAAAUAUGAUCAUAAUAAAAAUAAUAAAGCACUGAAUAUAAUAAAUCAUUUUUAACUUAUAUGUUAUUAUUUAAUGAUAUAGGAAUGAUGAUGGUGUGCAGUGGAUAUCAAGAUAGUAAAUGAGACAUUAGAAUAUUAUAAUGAUCUUAUUCAUGCAAUUACUUUUUAUCGAUAUUUUAUUAUCUUUUUUAUUUGUUUAUUUUGGUGUAAAAGCAGAAGCUACAAUACUUAUUAGAUUUUUUGUACAAAUUAUAUAAUUUAAUUGUUACCAAUGCAUUUUAGUCUUAAAUUUUUUUUCUAAAAAAAAUUGAUCUCUUAUUAUUGAGAUUUAGAAUUCAUGAUGGAUCUAGAGCAUAUUUAGAUUGUAAUUUUUCAAUUUGGAUUUGGAGCAGAUAUAGAUCUUUAUUUUUGUUUCGAAUCUAGAUAUGGAGCGAAAAUAUAGAUCCAUAACGGAUCUGGAGCAGAUACAGAUCUUAAUUUUUAUUACGGAUCUGGAUAUGGAGCAAUGUAGAUCCAAUCCAUAUCUGCUCCAUUGCCAUCCCUACUCAAACCUUGAGUAUGGUUUUUACUUACGUAUUAUCGAUUAUGAUUUUAACUAAUCUCUCUUGUCAACGAACUUUUGGUUGAUUAUGGACGCCUUUUUUUUUUUAAUCUAAACAAUAUAAGAUUUCGUACAAAUUGAAUUUGUAUAGACCUCAUCAUUUGGAACUUGUGUUGUAUCCAAAAAUAUCACCCAACCCAAAGAAAAUAAGUUCAAUUCUAUAACUCAUUCAUUUUUCUUAUAGCCCAAUGGAUUGAGAGAAUAGGCGUCAGAGGAAACUUUAUUUCAAUAUAUAAAUAUAGGCUUGCAUACAAUGCAAAAUCAUAUAUUCGAACCAAUAGGCGAAGCAUUGUCCCUCGUUGAUCCACAUGAGCCAACUAGUCAAAGUGGAUCCACAUGAGCCACUUUACAGACUGGGCAUGCAUUGCAACUGUUCAUUUUUGCUUCUGCCAAUAAAGAGUUGAUAGUAACCAAAGAUUGUAUUCUUUAUUGUCAUUUGAGAGUAACCAAUUACUUAGGCAGUCACGUAAGUUGCUGGUUGGCCUCGCACAUUUUUGACCAGCUUGUUUCUGAAGGAAACCAGCUGAGCUGCAACCUCUUCCAUGCUCAUUCGUUCUCUCGGCAACUCUGAAGAGCAAGUGACUCCGAUUGCCAGUACUGAAACCAAGCACUCUUUAACACUAAAACUUCUGGUCCAUUGUUUGUGAGCAUUGGCCUUGCUUGUCUCCCCUUCUUCUCUUUCUACAAGAAGCACUGGAUCAACAAUUUCAGCGAGUCUUUCAGGAAGAGCUUCCUUGACAAAAUUAUGUAGGGUUAGAUUGCCUGUAAACAUCUCAUUCGUCGGCCCCUUUCCUGUAAACAUUUCCAGCAAGAGUAUUCCAAAACUGUACACAUCUCCACUUGUUGAGACUUCGCUCCCCAUUCCGUACUCUGCAAUUCGAAAACUAAAAUUGUUGGUUCAACUAGUAAAAUCUCUAAGGAUUGAAAGACAAGUUAAUUAAAUUAUUGUAUUUACCUGGUGCAGCAUAACCAACGGUUCCUUUUACUCCAACAGAGCUUGAUUGAUUAGAUGACAAGUUAUUGGUGGCUUCCGGAAGGAAUUUUGCUAAUCCAAAAUCACCUACAUGGGCAGUCAAUUCACCAUCCAGAAGAACAUUGCUUGGCUUGAGAUCACAAUGGACUAUUGGAGUUUCGCAAUAAUGAUGAAGAUAAUCCAAUGCGGAAGCAACAUCAACGGCAAUAUUCAGUCUUUGCAGGAGAUUUAAGUUCCUUGGUGCCUCAGCGUUCGGAUGCAACCAUUCCUCCAGGCUCCCGUUGACCAUGAACUCAUAAACUAAAGCCUCGAAAUCAUUUCCUUGGAAGUCAACACUUGCACAGGAAGUUAUUAUUUUGACAAGAUUCCGAUGCCUAAUACUCCUCAAGGCUUGACACUCCGCUAUGAAACUCUUUGAAGCUCCACGAUGCUGAAGAUUAAGUACCUUAACUGCCACCAGCGUUUCAUGAUCAUCGUGACUGAGGAUUCCUUUAUAGACCGAACCAAAGCUACCGGCACCAAUCAAGUUUUCCAAAGAGAACCCAUCAGUUGCUUUGAACAGAUUCUCAUAGGACACUCGUAAAACCGAAGCCAAGAAUGCUGAUGGAGUGGCCGGCUCCCUUUUUGAUUUGCUCCGCCAGGAAGUAAUUAUAAAACACGACAUCCCUGUCACUAACAAAAUUACUGUAACUACAGGAAUCAUCAGUUUCAGGGAACGGGAACGUGACUGCUUGGAUUCUUUGAUGGAACAAGUAGAUAAAUGCAACUCAGAUAUGCCACCACAGAGGUUAUCAUUUCCAUCAAGAGAUAUAGCACUUGAAUUGCUGAAGACUCCUUUUACUGGUACUUCACCCUCAAAAUGAUUAAAAGACAGAUUUAAAUUCUGCAAAAAGGGAAAGUUUUCCAAAUAUUUUGGAAUCCGGCCGGACAAAUUGUUCCGCGAAAGAUCAAGAUUCUCAAUGCCUCUCAAAGAACUGAAUGACGAAGGUAUAUUCCCUUGAAAGAAAUUACCAUUCAUGAUGAGUUGCACCAACAAAAUGCAACUUCCUAAACUACUUGGAAUUUCACCAGACAAUUUGUUCUCAGAUAUAUCUAUAAAACCCAGAUUUUUCAAGAUACCAAAAUUUGAGGGCAUAGGACCAUUCAACUGGUUUUGAGAUAGAUCAAGAUAGAUUGACAAGGAAGAGAGGCCAAUUACUUCAGUGGGUAUGGUACCACUGAGGUUGUUAUUAGAAAGAUUUAAUGAUAUUAAGUUUUGGCAUUUCCCCAGACUUGAUGGAAUGCUUCCCUCUAACAUGUUUUCCUCAAAAUUUAGUGUAGUUAACAAUGUCAAAUUUCCUAUAGAAGAUGGAAUUUCCCCCCAAAACUUGUUCCCCUUCAGGCCCAACCUCUGCAGCUUUUGAAGAUCUCCUAUACUUUCCGGAAUUCGGCCUGUGAAUUUGUUGCCCCCCAGAUGUAAAAGCUCCAAGUUAACAAGAUUUCUUAAUCCACUUGGGAUAUUUCCGAACAACUGAUUGUUUCCAACUGAUAAUAUUGCAAGUCGGUUUGACAAGUUCCCUACUGUUUCAGGUAACAUUCCACCAAAAUUGUUAUCACUAAUUUGCAGUAGCUCUAGUCUAGAAGCGUUAACCAAAGAAUUGACAAAUUCCAAGUUAUCUUUUUCCCCAUAAUUUCCUAAGUGAUUCUGAGAAAUACUAACCCAUUGGAGUUUAUGUAAAUUUUCCAAACUAGGCACCCUUCCACUGAAUCCAUUCUUUGCGAUUGUAAGUCUCAUUAGAUUUGAGGCAUUGGAUAUUGAAGCCGGAAUAGGUCCGGUAAACUGAUUACCACCAACGUUUAGUACUUCAAGUUUAGGAAGAGUGAAGCCUAAGUCUGAUGGAAGGCUUCCUUGAAGUUGGUUAAAAGGAAAAUAAAAACCACUAAGCCAAGACAAGUUGUAGAUUGAAAAGGGGAUUUCACCUGAUAGCUUAUUUGCUCCAAACGAUAUAUAACGCAUCAUCUUAAGCUCGCUCAGGGUUUCAGGAAUUUGUCCCACAAAUUGAUUUGCAGCUGCUGAGAGGACCUGGAGUGAUGACAAAUUGCCGAAGGAAGGUGGGAUUUCUCCUGACAAAUUGUUGGAGUGUAUUACGAGAAUCCGGAGCUUUGGUAAGGAGCCCAGUUUCCCUGGAACUUUCCCCACUAGCUCAUUGAAGUCUAACCAGAGGGAUUCAAGGUUAACGCAAUGCGAUAUGUUGUCAGGAAUUUGACCUCCGAAUGUAUUGUUGUCCAGCCUUAAAAUUCGUAACCUGAACAGAUAUCCAAUCGCUUGAGGGAUUUCGUUGCGGAGGCUAUUGUUUUUUAGAUCUAACACUCUGAGAAAACUCAAAUUACCAAUGUGAGGCGAAAGAGACCCCUGCAAGAGUAAAGAUGGAAGACGUAAUCCAGUCACCCUUUGGUGCCGUCGACUGCAAGUGACACCUUUCCAUUGACAAAAGUGCCUGGAAUAGUUCCAUGAACUCAAAACCUCAAGAGGGUCAUGAGUAACUUUGGCCUUGAAUUCAAGCAAUGCAAGUUGAUCAGUUUCAUUGCUUUUGAGCAUAUAAUCGGUUGACUGCAAGCUGAAGCUGACGCAACAGAAAAUAAAGAAACAAAUGCUUACAAUGAUUGAACUCAUCAUGUUUACAAAAUCCAUUUAACUGCCGAAAGGAAAUUAAAAUGAUAAAACUUUUAUAGAGGUUGGUAAGAUAAACUAUGUUUGUAUAUUUUUUGCAAUGAUUUAUGGACUCUGUACUUGAUGCUCAAAUGUGAACCGGCUGGCACCGUGACAGUGAAACUAAUGCUUUUUAUUUUUCUAAUAAUAUUAAUUAUCAAAUUUAUUACUAUUGUAAGAAUAAUAUAAUACAGCUUUUCCUUUAAGGAAGACCCGCCACACUAACUUUUGACGCUCUAUCAGUUUCCAGUAUUUUGUCAUUUUGUAUUGUAGUGCUUAAUCCACAAUGAAUAUAAAACAAUUUAAUCAACAUUAUUAGAAAAAGAAAAAAAGUAGGAGAAGAAAGUUAAGUAUGAUGGAUGGAGGGUCAGAUUACUGUUAAAUGACUUAAAGGUUUAAAGCACCACAGGAAUCAACGUUUCACAACGCUUUUUUCCCUUUCUGAAAUAUUCGGUGCAUUAGUUGACUAGAAUUAUAAUAUAUCAAACAACUACAAGAAAUAUUUUAAUUUAUCAUUUUACUAUUAUAUAUUUACAUAACUUAUCAUUUUACUAUAUUUCCGUAGUACCAUUAGUUGACUAGAAAAAUGUUAAUUUUACUUUUGAAAAAAAACACAAAUGGAUAUAUUAAAUAUUUUUAGCUACUUUUUAUUUUGAAUUUAUAAUGUUGUAAUACUUUGUGUUAUUAUUACUUUUUAUUUUGCAAAAACAAAUUAUAUAAAGAGAAAAAUUAAUAUUUUAUCAAUUAACUAAUUGAUCUAUAUUAAUUGAAAUAUAAUAAAUUAAUAUUUUAUCAAUUAACUAAUUGAUCUAUAUUAAUUGAAAUAUAAUAAAAUAAUAUUUUAUUUUUAAAUAUAAUAAAAUAAUUUUCCCAUGAAAGAAAAUGAUGAGUUGUUUCAACGUAAUGCAGCUGCCUAGACUACAUGGAAUUUCACCAGGCAAUGACAAUUUAUUCUCAGAUAAAUCUAACGCCACAACAUUUAUCUAGUCACCCAAAUUUGCAGGCGUUCGUUUUGAGACUUGUCAAAACUUUUUCCAAAAAUUCGGGAUUCAGGUCAUAUCAGGCCGGUUAUGUUUUGAAAAACUUGUAAAUUAUCAGUGAUCAAACUUCAAAACUUUGCAAAUAGGUCAAAAUACGGAAAAAAACUUGAUAUAUUAUUGAAUACUCAUUUUGUUUUGCAUUAAUAUAACGCUAUGGGUGAUAUCUAGUUCUGUUGGUAAAAUUUCUUGGGUUGAAAACAAGAAAACUAGCAUUUCAAACUCACUCAUAUGGAUGGGAAAGAAAUUUAGUUAUUAUUGGAUUAAAAAAUAAUAAUGAGAAUUAGAAAAAAAUUAUAAGGCUUCAACGAGAUUUGCUAAUCAUGUAUAGAUUAAUAUGGAGAUUAAGAACAUCACCUAAGCUAAUUAUUGAACUUGAAAGUUUAGGAGAAAAAAUUAUAUGGGUUUGGCCAUCAAUUUAGCAUUCGGAACUUAUUGUUUAGGAAGCUACGGCGGGUUUCGUAGUGGGACUUAUCCUCUUUAAUGCAUAUGGUGAUUUUAAACCAACAUAUAUAUAAUCCUAUUAUAAAACUCAUCAAACCUUCUAAAAUAACAUGUUGAGAUAGUGUGCUAGAUCCAUAUAAAUAUUUCUCCAACUUCUUAGCUUGAAGCGAUAUUCAUUUCCAUUGAUAGUUUAAUGGGCAAAGCCUUUUGAAUUCUCCAUGUUAUCAAGUUAACUUUUGCUGGAAAAUGCAAUGCGGAUAUGAAUAGAAUUUUUUGUGCAAACAAUUUUUCUAUGUUGACACAUCCUCUGGAACUUUCAGUAAAUUUUAUGGAGAAGCUUCAAUUUCUUGGUUGUUGAUUUCGAAUACAUUAAGCUCUUAUUUGGUAUUAAAGUAUUGUGGGCUAAAAGCUAUAGUUUUUAUGGAAAGAAAUUUGUAAUUGCGAAAUAAAAGUUGAUUCAGUGUGAUAAAUAUAAUUUCAGAAUAAAAAAUAAAGUAAACUUCGAAAUUAUAAUAGUAAGUAUUUAUUAAAUACUUUAGUGUUGCAGUAACUGUUUACUACAAUAUCAAAUAGGGGGCUAGUACAACAAGUUGUUAUAUUAAAAGUCUCCCAAAAAGGAAGAAGUGACUUAAAAAAUUAAAAGAAUGCAGGAGCUGAAGUUGGCAAUUUUGUAAAUUGCAAUGGCGAUUGUGAUAUAGUAAAAUCCUUCAAUGAAUCACAGCACUAGCGAUUUCGUAAUAUACAGUAGCGGCAAUUUUGUAAAAUUGAAGUAGUGAUAGUUUUGCAAAUAAAAGUAAAAACUUUUUCCCAAAAUUUGGCUGAGCAAAAAGCCAGCUUAGCCCACACUCUCCUUCGCCACUGGUUGAUGAGCUCUUCCUUCAAUUUUUGAACUUGAAGUGAUGCCCCAUCAACGUCCAGAAUUUUUAAAGUCUCCCCACUGUACAAGUUAAACAAUAAAGUCAGAAUGAUGACGGAGUUACAAACAAUCAAAUAUGAUCCUAAUGAUUCUUUUUAUACACUCACCCGUGCAUUGAUGUGUUUAAUUGAUAUAUAUUUAAGCAGAAAUUGAAGUUUGAACCUGAUUAAUUAGAUGCGAACACACAUUCAUGAGUAAUUACUUAAAAUUAAUUAACCAAAAGAGUAAAUAUAGGAGGAAAUCGAUCAUAUGCGUGCGGACACCACAAUCGAAUUAUAUAUUUAUAUCACCACAGCACAUAAAUUUUAUUCGAAUGAUAUAUGAUUAAUUAAUCAAUUUUUAAUAACAAUUAAAUUAUAAUGUCAAUUGUGCACAUAAGAUUUUUUUUCUUGAUGAAAUUAUGAAAGUUAGUAAUUAUUUUCCAUUUUUUAAAUAAUAGUUGUUAAUACAAAUCAAAAAAAUAUUGGGACUUGAGAUCAGGGUCUACUUGAGUUAGAAUUUUUUAUUAGAGAAGCUAUUAGCCAGCAAUACAAAAUAAAGAAGCAACACAAGAUAAAGAGUAAUAUAUUAUAGAAAGAUUUUAUUCGUUUCAAGUGUGUAUCAAACAAAGAGAUAUUUAUAGUUACAUAAUUACUACAUGAAAUUAAUGAAAACAUUAUGGAUCAUACUUCCUUGCGAGAUAGUGAAAGUUAUAGAGAAGGCAAAGGUUGCUAGUGGAAGAUAGUAGAGAGAUUAAGAGAUGUAUGUUAUAAACAUCCAGAUUUAUUUUAAUAAAUUCAUAGCAUUUUUUCCCCUCAAAUAAUAGGGUGUAGAGAACAAUUGGAAGGAGUUUACGCAGCCUAUAAAUUAAUACUCUGACGAAUUAAUAUCCUCUAUUAUAUAAUGACUUUUUUUAAGCACACUAAUAGGCUAAAAUGACAGUUCCAAUAAAUAAAUAAAAUAAUAUAUUUUUUUUGAAAACCCUUACAUAAUAUUGUGGUCCUACUCAUAUCAUAAAUUAAUAAUUUUUAAAUUAUAUAUAAUUAUUACACAUAAAUUAUAUAUUUUUUAAUAAAUUCAUAAUAUUUUUUCUCAAAUAAUAGGGUGUAGAGAACAAUUAGAAGGAGUUUACAAGACUCGCCUAUAAAUUAAUACUCUGGCGAAUUAAAAUCCUCUAUUAUAUAAUAAUUUUUUUUAAGGUUGCUAGUAGGCUAAAAUGAUAGUUCCAAUAAAUAAAUAAGAUUAUAUUUUUUUUUAAUGAAAACCCUUACAUUACAUUAUGGUCCUACUCAUAUAAUAAAUUAAUAAUUUUUAAAAUUACAUAUAUAAUAUUUUAUUUUAAAAAUAUGAUUUUAUUUUUUAUUAUUUUUUCUUGAAAUUUAAAUAUAGUUAGAUUUCAUCUCUAAUUUUUCUUAUUACUUUUGAGGUUAAAUUUUGAAAUUGCAAAAAUUUUGAAUUUUUUUGGUUAAUUAAAUCUGCAGUGAGUGUAUAAGAUGAUUAGAUUAGUAAAAUAUAAUAAAUUUUUAGUUGAUUAAAUAUAUGUUCAUUUAAUAUGUCUUGUGUAUACAGAGUUUACUAAGGACAAGCCGAAUAGUAAGUGAGCAUUUACACUAAUCAAUCGUGUUGAGUUGUGUCUCAUAUUGGCUAGUAAAGGGGAGAUACUUGGGUUUAUAAGAAGGUAUGUCACUCCACCUAAAAGACUAGUAUUUUGGGUUGGAUACCUAGAAAUCUUAUGUUAAGUCCCCUCAACAAAUCGGUAUUGUGCAAUGAAAAUAAGUAAUCUAAAAAUUGCCUAGGAUUUUGCCUUAUAUGUCUCAAAAUAAGCUAAUUAUGCCCAAUUAUGGCACUUGAUGGUUCAACUUUGACAUCAAAGUUGGAAACGUUUUUCUCUAGGGUGAGGCUAUUUGCACUUGAAUAUCUACUUUGAACACUCAUUUACUCAGCGCACUCAAUUAAUAAUUUCAAACUAUUAAAUUUUACUUGGAACACUCUUUUGAAUUCCUAUAUUAUCCACAUUUCUUUAAUUACUUUAUUUCUUCUUUGUACCCAAUAAAAUAUUCAUCAUCACAAACAAAAUAUCUAACUUUUUUUUUCCAUUUUUAUUCACUUUUAUUUUCUGUUCAUAAUCUGUUUUGAUAUGUAUUUGUUCUUCUCUUAUUGCUACAAUUUAAUUCUGUUUGUCAACCCAUAAAAGCAUGCGAAUUGAGUGAAAAUCAAAGUGCAAAUUUAAAACAAAAUCCUUUGAUUUACUUGCGUUUUCUUAUGUUGGAGUGGUGCAAUUUGUUGUUUGUCCUCCACCUCUAUUUUUAAUUCCUUUUGUUUCAGUUAUAAAGAUGAUCAUGAACAUGUUACUUGAUGUUUUCCUAGCAAUUCUAUUAACCAAAAAAAUGAAAAAAAAAAGUUUAGUCCAUAAGUAUAGACAAUGUUUUCAUUUGAAUAUUGAUUCAAUUCUUCGUUGUUAAUGUGGUUUAUUGUAGAUAAAAUAUAAUGUUAGAUAAAAAUUUGUUAUACUGUAUUUUAUAAUUGUCCUUAAUAGAAAAUUACAUUAAGGUUAAUUUAGUAAUAUAAAAAUUAUUAAAUGUGAGUGUCCAAAGUAAAUUUUAGAGUGCAUAUAGUCUCACCCUUUUCUUUGUGUUAUUAUAAUUAAUUUAGAAAGAGUUAGAAAGCUAAGAGUAUCCUUAGUAAAGCUCAAAUAUGUAAUACAUAUCACUAGUGAGUGAGUUUCAUAAACUUUCCUAAUUAAGUAGAUGAAUUUUGGGUUGUAAAUCCUAACACAAUAUCUAUUCAGUUGUUGAGCCUAAAAUAUCACAACUAAAUCGAUAUUGUCCGAUGUAGUCAUGCAACCCUACAUCUUCUUAGUUAGGACAAUUCAUGAAACCACUUAUUUGGGAUGUAGGAGAUGAUACAAAAUUUGUAUGUGCACGUUGGCUUAAUAUCCCAAUUACACACUCGUUUGUCUUCAUGUGCUCCGAAAAGAUCUAUUGUAAUGGAUAUAUUGUAUCUUUAUCAAAGUGCUUGUUAUAAUGAUUCUAUUGUGGUGUUAUUCGAGUUGUCACUUUUAGUUUUUGAUUAUCUUUUUUAAACAUAGUUAAUUUGAAAUGUUCUUUAAUAUCCAACACACUUGAGAUCAUCAAAUAAGUGAUUCCCGAACAUAAUUGCCUCUGAUCAUUUUGUUUGUGCCAAUAAAGGGUUGAUACAAACCAAAGACUUCUUGUCUUUAUUGUCAUUUGAGAGUAAUCAAUUACUUACGCAGUCACAUAAGUUACUGGUUGGCCUCGCACAUUUGAGAGUAACCAAAUGGAAAUGAGAGCAACGUGAUUUUCCAAAGAGAACUUCACACUAUCAUAAAACUGAAAACAUUACAAUUUAAAGCUUAAAUAACAACACACCAAAGCCAAAUAACGACCCACUAGAAUCAUGGUCCAAAGAUUGUUCCAUGAUCACAACAUGAACUACAAAAAAAAAAAAAAAAAAAAAACCAACACCAAAAAAGUAGGAACAAUUUGAAACUUUCGACUAAGCAACAUUUAUGAUCACAUCAGCAGUCCUAAACACAUCUUCUAACAAUUGCAACUGUUCAUUUUUGCUUCUGCCAAUAAACAGUUGAUAGUAACCAAAGAUUGUUGUCUUUAUUGUCAUUUAAGAGUAACCAAUUACUUACGCAGUCACGUUAGUUGCUGGUUGGCCUCGCACAUUUUUGACAAGUUUGUUUCUGAAGGAAAGCAGCUGAGCCGCAACCUCUUCCAUGCUCAUUCGUUCUCUCGGCAACUCUGAAGAGCAAGUGACUCCGAUUCCCAGUACUGAAACCAAGCACUCUUCAACACUAAAAUUUCUGGUCCAUUGUUUGUGAGCACUGGUCUCGCUUGUCUCCCCUUCUUCUCUUUCUACAAGAAGCACUGGAUCAACAAUUUCAGCGAGCCUUUCAGGAAGAGCUUCCUUGACAAAAUUAUGCAGGGUUAGAUUGCCUGUAAACAUCUCAUUCGUCGGCCUCUUUCCUGUAAACGUUUCCAGCAAGAGUAUGCCAAAACUGUACACAUCUCCACUUUUUGAGACCUCACUCCCCAUUCCGUACUCUGCAAUUUGAAAAUUAAAACUGUUGGUUCAACUAGUAAAAUCUCUAAGGAAUGCAAAAGAAGUUAAUUAAAUUAUAGUAUUUGCCUGGAGCAGCAUAACCAACGGUUCCUUUAACUCCAGUAGAGCUUGAUUGAUUAGAUGACAAGUUAUUGGUGGCGUCCGGAAGGAAUUUCGCUAAUCCAAAAUCACUUACAUGGGCAGUCAAUUCACCAUCCAGAAGAACAUUGCUCGGCUUGAGAUCACAAUGGACUAUUGGAUUUUCGCAGUAGUGAUGAAGAUAAUCCAAUGCGGAAGCCACAUCAACGGCAAUAUUCAGUCUUUGGAGGAGAUUUAAAUUCCUUGGUGCCUCAGGGUUUGGAUGCAACCAUUCCUCCAGGCUCCCGUUCACCAUGAACUCAUAAACUAAGGCCUCGAAAUCAUUUCCUUGAAAGUCAACACUUGCACACGAAGUUAUUAUUUUGACGAGAUUCCGAUGCCUAAUACUUCUAAAGGCUUGACACUCCGCUAUGAAACUCUUUGAAGCUCCUCGAUGUUGAAGAUUAAGCACCUUAACUGCCACCAGCGUUUCAUGAUCAUCAUCAUUGAGGAUUCCUUGAUAGACCGAACCAAAGCUACCGGCACCAAUCAAGUUUUCCAAAGAGAACCCAUCAGUUGCUUUGAACAGAUUCUGAUAGGACACUCGUAAAACCGAAGCCAAUACUGCUGAUGGAGGAGGGGCCGGCUCCCUUUUUGAUUUGCUCCGCCGGGAAGUAAUUAUCAAACACGACAUCCCUGUCACUAACAAAAUUACUGCAACUACAGGAAUAAUCAGUUUCAGGGAACGGGCACGUGAUUGCUUUGAUUCUUUGAUGGAACAAGUAGAUAAAUGCAACUCAGAUAUGCCACCACAGAGGUUAUCAUUUCCAUCAAGAGAUAUAGCACUUGAAUUGCUGAAGACUCCUUUUAUUGGUACUUCACCCUCAAAAUGAUUAGAAGACAGAUUUAAAUUCUGCAAAAAGAAAAAGUUUUCAAAAUAUUUUGGAAUCCGGCCAGACAAAUUGUUCCGCGAAAGAUCAAGGUUCUGAAUGCCUCUCAAAGAACUGAAUGAUGAAGGGAUAUUCCCUUGAAAGAAAUUACCAUUCAUGACGAGUUGUUCCAACCUAACGCAACUUCCUAGACUGUUUGGAAUUUCACCAGACAAUUUGUUCUCAGAUACAUCUAGAACACCCAGAUUUUUCAAGAUGCCAAAAUUUGAGGGCAAAGGACCGUUCAAUUGGUUUUGAGAUAGAUCAAGAUAGAUUGAUAAGGAAGAGAGACCAAUCACUUCAGUGGGUAUGGUACCAGUGAGGUUGUUAUUAGAGAGAUCUAAUAAUAUCAAGUUUUUGCAUUUCCCUAGACUUGAUGGAAUGCUUCCCUCUAACAUGUUUCCGUCAAAACUUAGUGUGAAUAACAAUGUCAAAUUUCCUACAGAAGAUGGAAUUUCCCCCAAAAACUUGUUCCCCUUCAGUCUCAACCUCUGCAGCUUUUGAAGAUCUCCUAUACUUCCCAGAAUUCGGCCUGUGAAUUGGUUGUCCCCAAGAUCUAAAAGCUCCAAGUUAACAAGAUUUCCUAAUCCACUUGGGAUAUUUCCGAACAAUUGAUUGUUUCCAACGGUAAAUCUUUUAAGUCGGGUUGACAAGUUCCCCACAGAUUCAGGUAACAUUCCUCCAAAAUUGUUAAUACUAAUUUCCAUCAUCUCUAGUCUAGAAGCGUUGACCAAAGAACUGACAAAUUCCAAGUCAUCUUUUUCCCCAUUUCCUAAGUGAUUCAGAGAAAAGCUAACCCGUUGGAGUUUAUAUAAAUUUUCCAAACUCGGCACCUUUCCACUGAAUCCAUUUUUCUGGAUUGUAAGUCUCAUUAGAUUUGAGGCAUUGGAUAUUGAAGCAGGAAUAGGCCCAGUAAACUGAUUAUUACCAAAGUUUAGUACUUCAAGAUUAGGAAGAGUGAAGCCUAAGUCUGAUGGAAGGCUUCCUUGAAGUUCAUUAACAGGAAAAUCCAAAAGACUAAGCGAAGACAAGUUGUAGAUUGAGAAAGGGAUUUCACCUGAUAGCUUAUUUGCUCCGAAUCCUAUUGAACGCAUCCUCUUAAGCUCGCUCAAGGUUUCAGGAAUUUGUCCCACAAACUGAUUUACAGCUGCUGAAAGGAACUCGAGUGAUGACAAAUUGCCAAAGGAAGAUGGGAUUUCUCCUGACAAAUUGUUGAAGUGUACUGCUAGAGUCCGGAGCUUUGAUAAGGAGCCUAGUUUCCCUGGAACUUUCCCCACAAGCUCAUUGAAGCCUAACCAGAGGGAUUCAAGAUUAACGCAAUGUGAUAGGUUGUCAGGAAUUUGACCUCUGAAUGUAUUUUUCUCCAGGCUUAAUUUUUGUAACCUGAACAGAUAUCCAAUCUCUUGAGGGAUUUCGUUGCGGAAGCUAUUGUUUUUGAGAUCUAACACUCUGAGAAAACUUAAAUUACCAAUGUGAGGCGACAGAGACCCCUGUAAGAGUAAAGAUGGAAGAAGUAAUGCAGUCACCCUUUGGUGCCGUCGACUGCAAGUGACACCUUUCCAUUGACAAAAGUGCCUGGAAUAGUUCCAUGAACUCAAAACCUCAAGAGGGUCAUGAGUAACUUUGGCCUUGAAUUCAAGCAAUGCAAGUUGAUCAGUUUCAUUGCUUUUGAGCAUAUAAUCGGUUGACUGCAAGCUGAAGCUGAAGCAACAGAAAAUAAAGAAACAAAUGCUUACAAUGAUUGAACUCAUCAUGUUUACAAAAUCCAUUUAACUGCCGAAGGAAAUUAAAAUGAUAAAACUUUUGUGGAGGUUGGUAAGAUAAACUAUGUUUGUAUAUUUUUUGCAAUGAUUUAUGGACUCUGUACUUGAUGCUCAAAUGUGAACCGGCUGGCACCGUGACAGUGAAACUAAUACUUUUUGUUUUUCUAAUAAUAUUAAUUAUCAUAUUUAUUACUAUUGUAAGAAUAAUAUAUUGCAGCUUUAAAGAAAGACUCACCAUACUCCUUUUCGAGUCCUGUCAGUUUCCAGCAUUUGGUCAUUUUUUUAUUUCACCGCUUAAUCCACAGUAAAUAUAAAACAAUUUAAUCAACAAUAUUGAAAAAGAAAAAAAGUAGGACAAGAGAAAGGUAAAUACUGUUAAAUGAGUUGGGAAACGUUCAAAGCACGACGGGAAUUAAAAUUAUAAACUUUUAUAAAGGUUGGUAAGAAAAAACAUAUUUGUAUAUAUUUUUUUCAAUGAUUUAUGGACGCUAUACUUGAUGCUGAAAUGUGAACCGGCUGGCACCGGGACAGUGAAACUAAUGCUUUUUAUUUUUCUAAUAAUAUUAAUUAUCAUAUUUAUUACUAUUGUAAGAAUAAUAUAAUACAGCUUUUCCUUUAAGGAAGACCCGCCACACUAACUUUUGACGCUCUAUAAGUUUCCAGUAUUUUGUCAUUUUGUAUUGUAGUGCUUAAUCCACAAUGAAUAUAAAAGUUUAAAGCACCACAGGAUGAUGGAUGGAGUUUCACAUUACUGUUAAAUGACUUUGAAAGGUUUAAAGCACCACAGGAACCAACGUUUCACAAUGCCUUUUUCCCUUGUGAAAUAUUCAGUGCAGUCUCUCCCAGAUUUUGCUAGUGCAACAACGAGACGUCAUGCCGUUAACAAUUUUAAACUGUAAAUGACAUGUUGUUUUUACAAGACAUAUUAUGCGUCGAUACAUACCUUUUCUGGUUGUUGGUUUAUAAAAAUAUAUGAAACGGCAUGAGUGUGACAACUCUUGUAAAAUUUUUAAAAACAACAUAAUCAAUGGUAUUCUUAUCUCCCAGCUGCCGUUUGCCGUUUGGAAUUGUUCUGUAUAAGAUCUUGAUCAUCGAAUUUACCACUAGGGCGUAUGCUUUAUUUUCUCGAAUUACAUUGCUGCCUCAUCUUUUGUGUUUUCGGUUCUGUUGUGGAUCUCCUCUGUUUUUUUCUGAUUUUGGGCCCGAAGGGCACGUUAAUUGAAAUCAACAAAUCUGGUAAAAAUGACGUUAAAUUCGAUCAGAUUUACAUAUUUAAUUACAAAUGCAGUAACCCCGAUCAGAUGCAUACACUAAUUUUAUUUAUUUUGUCAGCUUUAACCUCACUGUCAUUUUGAAUAGCCUACAAGAGUCGAAUGACUAGAUUUCCAAUUUGCUAUCAUCCCCCUUGAAUGGGUUCAAGAAAUUCAGCAGGUUGCGAAACAAUAAGAUUCAUUCAAUCCGUGUAGAUAUCUAACUGACUGAAAUUAAAUAAAUGAUGAUGAUAAGAAAUUUGAAAUCAACAAAUCUCGGCACAUCUAUUCUGCAAUUUAGCCGUACUUCAAAUAAUCUUGCGAUAAAAAUUUCUUAAAAAUCUCAGAAAGAGGACAGAACAACCAAGGCAUCAGCGAAAGCAAUCGAUGUUAGGAAAUUGGUGGGUGCAGCAGUACCGCAACUAAAAUAAAAUUGGAAAUAAAAUAAAGAACAAGCACAAUAGAGGACACCAAAAAUUACGUGGUUCGGCUUUUAGCCUACAUCUACGGGCGAAGACAGAAGGAAAUAUUUUACUAGUGAAAUAAGGAUUACAAGUAUUGUAAGAUUUUAGCUCACUACCCAAAACCCCAAUACACCCAAUCUCUCACUCACUACACAUGCAAGAGUUUAUUAAACUCUUGAAAACUCUCAACACUCAAAGAAAGAAAAAUUUCUCUCAAUGGAAUUGAAUACAAAAUGAAAUGAGGAGCUCUGCCUUUUAUAGCCAAAAAAUGGCUAUUAAAUUAUUAUUUUUACCACCGUCUUCAUUCUGCUAUUUUCUUCUUUCUUCUUUUUUCUUCAUUCCAAAUUUGCUGCUGCCAAAUUCUUCAACAUUUUCUUUGGCCGGCUGUCAAAGCCAACUUUGCUUAUUCAAGGGUUCUAGAUGCAGUAGCUUCUAGAUGCAGCCAAAUUUGACAUUCUCCCACUUGGAGAUUAGAUUGAGAAUCAAUCAAUCUCCACAUCAUCCUUUCUGUUUCGCCAUAAUCAUGUUGCCUACGUUGCUGCUAGGCCACAAGAGGAUCUACUCCAGAUAAACUUGUCAGCAUUUAUUGGCUUGGUCAAAACAUCUGCUAGGUUCUCCUUCGUAUGGAUUUUCUGCAAAUCCACACUUCCAUCUUCCACUACUUCUCGAACGAAGUGAUACUGAACUCCUAUGUGCUUUGUCCUGGAAUGAAAGGCUAGAUUCCUUGCAAUGUGCAAGGCACUCUGACUGUCACAAAACACAAGAAUUUUCUGUUGUUUGUGCCCGAGCUCCUCCAAUAAUCUUUGUAUCCAAAUAGCUUCCUUGCAAGCUUGUGUAGCUGCCAUGUAUUCUGCUUCUGUUGUAGAUAAUGCCACAACGGUCUGCAGUUUCAAAACCCAGCUUACAGCUGCUCCCGCAAGUGCAAACACAUAACCAGUAGUGGAUUUCCUUUUAUCAAGGUCUCCUGCAAAAUCUGAAUACACAUAGCCCCUGACAGUAAACUCUGAUCCUCCAUAACAUAAUGCAACAUCUGAGGUUCCUCUGAUGUAUCUCAGAAUCAUCUUCACAGCUAUCCAAUGCUCUCCGCCAGGAUUCGCCAUGUAUCGACUGACUGCUCCCACUGCUUGUGCAAUGUCCGGUCUUGUACAUAUCAUAGCGAACAUUAAACUUCCCACUGCUGAUGCAUACGGUACUCGAGACAUCUCCUUCCUCUCUGCUUCAUUGCUAGGACACAUACUUGAGGAUAAUUUGAAAUUAACAGGAAAUGGGGUAGAAAUUGACUUACAAUCUUGCAUGUUGAAGCGCCGCAAGAUUUUCUUCAAGUAAUUCUUCUGUGAUAGCCAAAUCUUCCUGUUAUUUUUGUCUCGGUGAAUUUGCAUCCCUAGAAUCUUGUUUGCUGGUCCCAAGUCCUUCAUUUCAAACUCCCUAGCCAACUGUGCCUUCAAUUCUUGGAUUCGAUCUUUGUUGGGACCUGCUACCAACAUGUCAUCUACAUACAACAGCAAAAUGAUGAAAUCAUUAUCUUCAAACCUCUUGUAAUAUGCACAAUGGUCUGAACUGAGUCUGUUGUAUCCAAGGCUCAUGAUGAAGGAAUCAAAUCUCUUAUACCAACACCUCGGCGCCUGUUUGAGACCGUAUAGAGAUUUGUUCAACUUGCAAACCAAGUUCUCCUUUCCUGUUUCUGCAAAACCUUCUGGUUGGAGCAUAUAUAUUUCUUCUUCAAGUUCUCCAUGAAGAAAUGCAGUUUUCACAUCUAACUGCUCUAGAUGUAGGUCAAAUGUAGCACACAUUGCCAAGACUAUUCUGACUGUUGUGAGUCGAACCACGGGCGAAAAUAUCUCGUUGAAGUCAAUGCCUUCUUUCUGAGCAUAUCAUUUCACCACCAAUCUUGCACGAUACCGCUCCACUUGGUCAUUGCCAUCACGCUUGAUCUUGUAGACCCAUUUGUUUCCAAUGGCUUUUCUUCCAUGUGGUAGUGGUACAAGUUCCCAUGUCUUGUUCUUGUGUAGAGCUUCAAUUUCUUCCUGCAUUGCUGUCAUCCACAAAGCAACAUCUGAGCUGUUUAAAGCUUCAUGGAAAGUUGAAGGCUCUCCAUCCUCUGUUAAAAGACAGUAUGCAACGUUGAUCUCUGUGACAUACUCAGAGUGCCACACCGGCGGUCGUCUCUCACGAGUUGACCGACGAACUUCUGGAGCCUCGGACUCGACUGGUUCUUGUUCCUCGUGCUCUGGUGCUGCUUCAGAAGAAUCUGAAUCUUCUGGAUUAUUUUCUACAUAUACCGGCACAAUCUCUGACUUUUCUUUUACAGUGCCAUCAUCUCCAUCUUUCAUUUGCAGUUGAUCUUCUACAAAAAUAACAUCUCUGCUGAUGACGAUCUUGUGGGCAGUGGGGUCCCACAGACGAUACCCCUUUACUCCAUCAGCAUACCCCAAGAAGAUACAUCUUCUAGAUUUUGGAUCCAACUUUGUUCUUUCUUGGGCAUUGUACAUCACGUACACAGGACAUCCAAAUGCAUGUAGGUAGGAAUAAUCAGCUGGCUUUCCAGUCCACAUCUCCAUCGCCGUCUUCAACCCAAUCGCUGUAGAUGGUGAUCGAUUUACUAUAUAACAGGCAGUUUUGGCUGCUUCUGCCCAUAAUGAAUUGGGUAAACCAGCAGUCCUCAACAUAGCUCUUAUUCUUUCUGUAAGAGUUCUGUUCAUCCGCUCUGCCACUCCAUUUUGUUGAGGAGUGUACGCCACCGCGAACUGCCUCUGAAUACCUUCUUGCUUACAGAAAGCAAGAAACUCGCCCUCUGUAUAUUCUCCACCAUUAUCCGUCCUCAAGCACUUGAUCUUUUUACCAGAUUCAAGUUCCACACGCGCUUUGUAUUCUUUAAACACAGGAAAUACAUCUGACUUUUUCUUAAUUGGAUACACCCAACAUCUUCUAGAAUAAUCAUCAAUGAAAGUCACUAUGUACUUUGCACCUCCCAUGGAUAUAUCCGGUGAUUCCCAAACAUCAGAAUGAAUCAAGUCUAGAAUGCAUUUACUUCUAGCAAUAGAUCUACUGAAUUUUAAUCUAUGCUGCUUACUUAUAACACAAUGCUCGCAAAAUGGUCUGAAUUUUAAUCUAUGCUGCUUACUUAUAACACAAUGCUCGCAAAAUGGUAAACUUACCGAUUUGAGCCCCGGAAGCAAUUUUCGCUCAGAGAGAAUCUUCAAGCCUUGUUCUGACAUGUGACCAAGUUUGAGAUGCCACAUCAUCGUUGAUUCUUCUCCAUUUGACGCGACACACGUAUUAGCCUCCUGUAGUGUUUCUCCUCUAAGCAUGAAUAGAUUAGCACCGAUCUUUUCUGCUUUCAUCAAUACAAGCGCGCCUUUAACGAUCUUCAUAAUUCCAUUCUCCACAUGAGUUUUGUACCCAUGACUAUCCAUGUGUCCCAAAGACAAUAGAUUUUUCUUCAAGCCAUUGACAUGUCGUACCUCUCCAAUUGUGCGAAUUGUACCAUCAAACAUUUUUAUUUUGAUAGUACCAAUACCAGCGAUCUCCAAGGCAUGAUCAUCUCCCAUAUAUACAGAUCCUCCUGAGAUAGGUUCAUAUGUGUGGAACCAUUCUCUCCGAGAGGUCAUGUGCCAGGUAGCUCCUGAGUCUAUAAGCCAGACAUCAGACAAUCGUUUUCUGCCUUCUGAAACAGUUGUUGCCUCGCUGUAAAGAAUUUCGCCAUCAUCUGAGGUACUUGCUACACAACCCUGAGCAUUUGAUGACUCAGGUUCUUUUCCCUCUUUUCUCUUCUGGUUACUCCAACAUUCUUUCUUGAUGUGCCCUUUCUUGCCACAUUUGUAGCAUUUAACAUUAUUCUUACUCAUGGAUUUUGAUCUACCCUGAUUUUGACUCCCACUGGGGCCACGUUCCGUUGAUCUCCCUCUCGUCACCGAUAGCGCCUCCGCUUGCUGCGAACUUGCUUGUCUGUUUUCCUUAUUUUUCCACCUGCUCUCCUCAUUUAAUACGGAGGCUGCAACAUCGUCGAAAACUAGACUCUCCACUGGAUUGUUGUUCGUCAGGUUGAUGAUGAGUUGAUCAUACGAAUCUGGUAGACUUUGAAGUAGAAGCUCUGCACGUUCAUUUUCCUCUAUAUUAUGACCCAACAUUGUGAGUUGUGAAAAUAGAGUCUUCAAUGUGUUGAUGUGGUCGGUCACCAUUGUAGAUUCCGUCAUUCGAAGAGUAUAGAGUUUUCUCUUCAAGAAGAUUUUGUUGUGUAGUGACUUGGCCUCAUACAAUUUUGUGAGAGUAUCCCAUAUUUCCUUCGCCGUAUUUUUCUCUGCCACACUGGAUAAUACUCCAUCCGCAAGUGCCAAGUGUAGAUCAGAAAUGGCGUUGCCGUCUACCUCGUUCCACUUGUCAUCAGUUAUCUCCAUGGGCCUUUCUCCAAUUGCUGCCAAACAAUUAUUUUUCCUCAAUACAGCUUUCAUCUUCAUUUUCCACAAUGAAAAAUUAUUUCCGUUAAACUUCUCAAUUUCAUACUUUGCCGCCAUUUUGUUGAUAAAUACUGUACACAAGUUAGUGUACCACCUUGAAUAGUUGUGAGUAUGUGUGAUAAUGCACACCAGGAAAGUUCCCAGGAAAGACUGGAGGGGUCACAAUGGUCCCACUUAAAACCCAGACUCCUUAAGCUCUUAUCGCCUUUGUGACAGAACUUUCCUAGACAUGUACAAAACCACAGUUGUUUUUCUCACACUACUAUUCCCUGCUUUGCACCGGAAAAUUCUUGGAUCGCUUCCACCGUUUCACGUGAAUAGUACCGUAUACGUGAACAAUACCAUAUAUGUGAACAAACCCGUAUACGUGAACAACACAGUAUACGUGAAUAGUGUCGUAUACGUGUACAGUGCCGUAUACGUGAAUAGUACCCCUUACGUGAACAGUUCCCGACUCCAAAAAUACAACCAAUAGCUCUGAUACCACUGUUAGGAAAUUGGUGGGUGCAGCAGGACCGCAACUAAAAUAAAAUUGGAAAUAAAAUAAAGAACAAGCACAAUAGAGGACACCGAAAAUUACGUGGUUCGGCUUUUAGCCUACAUCCAUGGGCGAAGACAGAAGGAAAUAUUUUACUAGUGAAAUAAGGAUUACAAGUAUUGUAAGAUUUUAGCUCACUACCCAAAACCCCAAUACACCCAAUCUCUCACUCACUAGACAUGCAAGAGUUUAUUAAACUCUUGAAAACUCUCAACACUCAAAGAAAGAAAGAUUUCUCUCGAUGGAAUUGAAUACAAAAUGAAAUGAGGAGCUCUGCCUUUUAUAGCCAAAAAAUGGCUAUUAAAUUAUUAUUUUUACCACCGUCUUCAUUCUUCUAUUUUCUUCUUUCUUCUUUUUUCUUCAUUCCAAAUUUGCUGCUGCCAAAUUCUUCAACAUUUUCUUUGGCCGGCUGUCAAAGCCAACUUUGCUUAUUCAAGGGUUCUAGAUGCAGUAGCUUCUAGAUGCAGCCAAAUUUGACAAUCGAGGCAGGGCACGCUCAAGCCACGAAUUAGAGGAAUUUUAAAUAUCAAAACCAGCUCAGAAUAAUAAGAAGUAAAAUGAAACUAAAAAAGGCUCAGAUUUUUGGAUGAGUGAAGGGAAGAUGAGAAGAUGAAAUGCAGAAAGUCAAGAAAUGAAUAAACCAAUAUUAAUAAUCUUGGACCCACAUCUCUAAUUUGGAUUAAGCAUCCAUCUGCCUAUGUGGAUAAUAUUUUUGCUAAUUUUUCAGCCAUGCAGCAGGAUCAUGUUCGUCUUGUUUUAUUUGAUAGAAGGAAUUUUCCCUUGGAAGAAAAUGAUGAGUCGUUUCAACGUAAUGCAGCUACCUAGACUGCAUGGAAUUUCACCAGACAAUGACAAUUUAUUCUCAGAUAUAUCUAAAUCUAACGCCCCCACAUUUGUUUAGUCACCCAAAUUUGAAGGCGUCCGUUUUGAGACUGAUCAAAACUUUUUCCAAAAAUUCGGGAUUCAGGUCGAUCAGGCCGGUUAUGUUUUGAAAACUUGUAAAUUUUCAGUGAUCAAACUUCAAAACUUUGCAAAUAGGUCAAAAUAUGAAAAAUUCUUGAUAUAUUAUUGAAUACUCAUUUUGUUUUGCAUUAAUAUAAGGCUAUGGGUGCUAUCUAGUAAUGUUGGUAAAAUUUCUUGAGUUGAAAACAAUAAAACGAAAAUAGCUCUAAUAGAUCCACCCCUGUUUGAAACUCACUCAUAUGGAUGGGAAAGAAAUUUAGUUACCAUUGGAUUAAAAAAUAAUUAUUAUUAUUAGAAAAAAAAUUGUAAGGCUUCGACAAGAUUUGCUAAUCAUGUAUAGGUUAAAAUUUAUGUGGGUUUGGCCACCAAUUUAGCAUUAGGAACUUAUUGUUUAGGAAGCUAUGGUGGGUGUCGUAGUGGGACUUAUUCUCUUUAAUGCAUAUGGUGAUUUUAAACCAACAUUUAUAUAAUCCCAUUAUAAAACUCAUCAAACCUUCUAAAAUAACAUGUUGAGAUAGUGUGCUAGAAGUAUUUCUCCAACUUCUUAGCUUGAAGCGAUGUUCAUUUCCAUUGAUAGUUUAAUGGGCAAAGCCUUUUGAAUUCUCCAUGUUAUCAAGUUAAUUUUUGCUGGAAAAUGCAAUCCGGAUAUGAAUAGAAUUUUUUGUGCAAUCGAAUUUUCUAUGUUGACACAUCUUCUGGAACAUUCAAUAAAUUUUAUGGAGAAGUUUUAAUUUCUUAGUUGUUGAUUUCGAAUAUAUUAAGCUCUUAUUCAGUAUUAAAGUAUUGUGGCCUAAAAGAUAUAGUUCGUAUGGAAAGAAAUUUGUAAUUACAAAAUAAAAAUUGAUAAAGUGUGAUAAAUAUAAUUUCAAAAUAAAAAAUAAACUUAACUUCAAAAUUACAAUAGUAAUUAUAAAGUAUUUACUAAAUACAUUAGUGUUGCAGUAACUGCCCUACCACAAUGACAAAUAGGGGGCUAAUACUACAAAUUGUUCCAUUAAAAGUCACCCAAAAAGGAAGAAGUGACUUAAAAAAUUAAAAGAAUGCAGGAGCUGAAGUUGGCUAUUUUGUAAAUUGCAAUGGCAAUUGUGGCCUAGUAAAAUCCCUCAAUGAGUCACAGCACUAGCAAUUUCGUAAUAUACAUUAGUGGCAAUUUUGUAAAAUUGAAGUAAUGAUAGUUUUGCAAAUAAAAGUAAAAACUUUUUCCCUAAAUUCGGCUGAGCUAAAAACCAGCUUAGCCCACAGUCUCCUUCGCCACCGGUUGACGAGCUCUUCCUUCAAUUUUUGAACUUGAAGUGAUGCCCCAUCGAUGUCCAGAAUUUUUAAAGUCUCCCCAUUGUACAAGUUAAACAAUAAAGUCAGAAUGAUGAUCCUAAUGAUUCUUUUUAGAGAGUCACCUGUACGUUGAAGUGUUUAAUUGAUGUUUAUUUAAGCAGAAAUUGAAGUUUGAUCCUGAUUAAUUAGAUGAGAACACACAUUCAUGAGUAAAUACUUAAAAUUAAAUUAAUCAAAAUAGUAUAAAUACAGGAGAAAAUCGAUCAUAUGCGUACAGAAAUCACAAUCGAAUUAUAUAUAUCACCGCCGCACAGAAAUAACAAUUAAAUUGUAAUGUCAAUUGUCCACAUAAGAUUUUUUUUUUUUUUUUUUUUUUUUUUGUUGAUGAAAGUUAGUAAUUUUUUUCCAUCUUUUUAAAUAAUAGUUGUUAAUAAAUAUCAAGAAAAUAUUGGGACUGGAGAUCAGGGUCUACUUAAGUUAGAAGUGAGAGUAGUGCAGAUAUGUGGGGAUUAUAUGCAAGGUGGCUUAAAAGUAAAGGAGAUCUUACAAUGUGCUCUGAAGCCCUCUUAAAGCAAGUCAGAUCAUAUCAGGUUUCUCCAUAAAUCUCAUCAUCUUAUAAUAAGUUAGCAUUAUGUUUUACUUUGAUGUUGAUGGAAUUUGUUAAUGCUAAUCAAAUUUUGUUAAUCUCCCUCUCUUUUUUUUUUAAUUUAAAAGAAGGCAAAUAAAAAGCUUUGUGAUUUCAUUUUUGUUUUCUAAAUUUGUUAUCUAAAGGAAUGACAAGUUGAUAACUCAGCCUCUGUGUGUGUGUGUCUGUGUCAGGGAUCUGAUUUGUGGAAAGAUAGAGAUCGGUUUAAAAGGUUUUCAUAUGCAUCCUUGGAACUUUGUAAGGUUUACAUGGAAAUUUCUUCCUCUUCCGGUAGCCGUCGAGAGCUCUUUGCUGCUGAGAUGCACCUGAAGAACGUACUUAAACAAGUAAAACACCUUAUAAUUCGAUAUUUAAGACACUUACAGUUGGUUUAAAGAUUGUAUUUUCUGUUUCUGUUUUUGACUGGUUCAGGGUAAAACUUUUUCUCACUGUGUUAGAGUGCAUUUCUGUUAUUAUAUAGUUUCUUAGAAGAAAAUGCACUUUUUGGAAUCUCAGGCUAAAGGAUUUUCUGACAUGGAAGAGUUCAGGGAUCUUCAAGCUUGCCUUGAUGAAGUGAAGACAAAACUCCAAUCUGGUCCCGUGGCUACCUAAGUAUCAGGAAUGUGCUAUUUUUGAAAUUUAGUAACAAGGUUAAAUCUGCAACUAAAAAUUAUUUUAGUUUGUACUGUAGUGGAGACCUUAAGCAGGACUGAAUAUCUUGUAUUGUUGUAUCACCUUUUCUGUAACAAAACGGUCUAGUUUUACUAUUUUUAUUAUUUUUGUAUUUUCGGUGCUGUAACUAAUCUCAUUUGACAAUUUAAAUAUAUGGCUUCAAGUUCUUUAAAUGUAACAUCAAGUGUUGUUUCAACCUCUGUUCUUUUAUGUAUUUCUUGCAUGCGGUGAUUUCAUUAACCUCAAUUUAAGGACAAUUUCAUAUCUUUUUUCUUUCUGCUUUUCUUUUAUCAUUUAAAAACAACACACACACACACACACACAUUUAUAUUUCAGAAGAGGAAAUUGCACGGGAUAUGACUCAAUACUUGCUAAAUGCCAAGACUAUGACCCAAUUAUUUACAUGCCGAGACUAUGACCGAAUAACAAGUGAAAGUACACAAAUAUCCUUAUAAGUAACUAAGUUAAAAAUAUAAAACUUGAGUUAGGAAGUUUAGGAAUGCAUUGAACUUGUAUUCAUUACUUUGAUUAAUCCAUUUACCGUUAUACAAGACAAUAACACGUACCAUAUCCAUUUACAUAAAAAUUAUGAGUUGACAAAGUAAGAAUAUUAACAAAAAUAAGUUGUUAAAAGUUCUUGUAGACUUCUGUGCUUCAGUUCUAGACUUCUAGAUUUAUAGACUUACCUACAUGUCUAUAAGUCUAGAUGUAAAGAAGUCACGAAAACGAUAACAAUGAUAAACAAACUCAAUUCAACAACAAAUUUGAUGUGUAAAAAUUGUGUUGAAGAAUUUUUUGGAAUCUGUUUGAAUUUGUUAAGGGAAUGUGAUGAUUUUAGUAAGUGUUUGAUAACAACUUAGAAUGUUGGACGCAUUAUAGUGCUGGGUGCAUGCUUUUGUUGGAAAAGAUAAGGGCAUUUUAGACUAGGGAUCACCAAAAUGUCAUACAAAUUUAAUUGAGUAAAAUUUGUCAUAUUUAUAUAAAAUGUACAUGAUUUUGUCAUAUAUAAAUAAAAAACCCAUUUCAGAAAGCAUUUAAACAAAGCGAGAGUACAAUAAAAAACCCAUUUUAGAAAGCAUUUAAACAAAGCCAGAGUACAAUAUAGAAAGAUUUUACUCAUUCUAAGUGUGUACCAAACAAAGAAAUGAACUCUCCUUUUCUAGUUAUAUAAUUAUUACAUGAAAUUAAUAAAAACAUGACGAAUUAUAAUUCCUUGCGAUAUAGUGGGGGUUAUAGAAAAGUCAAGAGUUGCUAGUGGAAGAUAAUAGGGAGAGUACAAUAUAUAUAUUAUGAACAUUCACAUUUAUUUUAAUAAAUUCAUAGCAUUUUUUUUGCUUAAAUAACAGGGUGUAUGUAUAUAUAUAUUGACAUAAAAAUUGCAUGACGUGUGGUUUAGCGUUUCUUGGUUGUUCAGUGCUAGUUUUAUGUCAAUUUUUAUUGACAUAAAAAUUGCAUGACACAAAAAAGGCUGUUUUAACCAACUAAAAACCAAAAGCUAAAACCCAAAACCCCCCUCUUUUUCGUUUUCCAGGGACUUCACCUUGAUAUUCAACCAACACUUCUGAUGUCUGCCCUUCAAUAAACCAAGUCAUUCAUACACAUGAUUCUACUAUUGGUGAUGCCUCUGAUGUUUUUGUGACCCCAAAAUUAUUGGGGAAUAGUCAUGAAUCUGAAUCUGGAGUCCAAUGCAUUCACGCUGGUGGCUCAGCAGCCCAUUUAAAGGCAAUCCAACAGGCAGUGAUCUUGUCGAGGUGCCUUCUAAUAGAAAAGAGCUCAUGGCAAGAUGAAAUGCAAAGUAAGUUGUUUUAUGGUUGGCCGGUGUGUAGUCAUCUCGUUAAAGGCCAUAAGAUGUUUAGCAUAUUGCUAUUUAAUUUUUAAAUCAUUCUCAGUAAUAAUUCCUUUAGUAGAUUGAUGAUAAGAGAUUGCAUUACAGAUGAUAACGGAGCACAAUUUUUGUAGUUGUAUCCCUGUACAUCCAUCUUAAUAUCCUCAUUAUAUUCACAUGCCUUUUACGGGUGUUAUUUCUGGAUGCCGAAUGCUUUGCUCCACGUCUGGAUACCAAAUGCUUUGUUCCACAAAGCUGAGCUGGUUGAAAAGCUAGCUGAUGAGGUCAACACGUCCCUUAAGUAAUUUGAGGAUGAACACUGUGUUCCCGAAAGUCUUACUCUAAUGAUACUUAAAGAAGCAAUGAGAAUGGAUGUUGCAGCAGCUUUGCUGAACUCAACUCCAGUUCCAAAAAUGGAACAUGUGAAAACCGAAAAUGCAUUGUUUUUUUUUUUUUCCUCUUUAUGACUUCUCUAGUUGGGGAAUGUAUUAGAUAUUCACCUAAUCAGUAGGCCUUGAAGGGAUCCCAUGUUAGCCCCUUGAUGUUGGUCUGUAACUAAGUAAAUACUUGACCUUGAAAAAGCUUUUGGAGGCAUCAGUUUCUCUCUGACUGGUGCUACUUUUUGGAUCUGUUGAUUUGGUCAUUUGCUGAUUUAUAGUUUGUUUUCUGAUUCAGGAUGGGAUAUGGCUCCAUACAUAGAGGCAACUGAUUCACAGCAGUCGUCAUGCUUCAUUGUAAAUAUAUAUACAAUACAGCAUCAGUUUUUCUUGAUUUUAAAUCUCAUAUUCUGAAGUGGUACUUCUGAUUCUCACAUGAUUUUUCCAUCUUUCAGCUAAAGUUUUUCUGUGAUCUCUUACGUAUUAGAUGGGAAUCCACCCGCAGUCGCACAAAAGGGCGUGCUUUAGAGAUGAUGGACAAACUGGUAUGAUCUGUGAGCCUUUUCUUCUUAAAUAUUUUGUUACCUAAACCAUUUUCAUUCAAAUUGACAAGUGUUGCUUAUCAAUCUAUAGAAGAUUCCAAACUUUCUGCAGCUAGUACUUUAUUGGACCCAAAAGCUUUUUUGCUUUUUCUAAGCUGCUAAUCAGGACUAGGUUUCUCUCCCUUAUAUCGCUAGAUAUCCCAUUAAUCGUUUGAUUUAGUUGUCUAGAGAGAUUAGGUACUUGCAUCUUCGCUUUUCACUUCACAAGUGAUUUCAUGUGCUAUCCUGUAUUCUGGUUCAAGAUUUUUGAAGGUUGCUUACCAUCAUAUUUUGCUUUGUUUCAGGUUGAGGGCAUUUCUAAUUCUUCUCCCGGUGUGACUCAAAGGAUUCCCUUUUGUUAUGUGAUUUAAGUUCCAACUAUUCCUACCCUGCGAAAGUAAUACUAUUUCUUUUGCUUCUUUGAAUGAUUGUGAUUUAAUUUUCUUGUCAUUUUGCCAACUAUCAUUAUGCUGUCAUUGUUUCAUAUCUUAUUUGACAUAUGUUGAUUUGGUUAGAGUUUAAUUGCUCUGUUUAUUCUCUUUAUAAUCUGUCUAUUUCGAUUUUUCUUGAUUUUAGGGAAUAUGCUGAACUUUUAGUAAGCUGUGGCUUGAUUGGAGAGGCUAUUAAAAUUUUUGAGGAUCUGGAGUUGUGGGAUAAUCUAAUAUACUGCAACUGGUAUGAUGUCAUAGAUAACCAUUAUCCUAAUCUCUCUGUCUGUCUGUCUGUCUCUAUCUCUCUCUUUCGUGUUGCUAAUGGGAGUUGGUUUUUUGUAUGAUGUAAAAAACAGCCUAUUGGGGAAGAAAGCAGCAGCUGUUGAACUAAUAAAAGCAAGGCUGUCUGAAAAGCCUAGUGACCCUAGAUUAUGGUUGGUUAAUGAGCCUUUUCUAUGAUCCAUUUUAUAGUUACUUCUCAUUUCAGUUAAAUCCAUUGUUGAUGUCACUUAUUGCAAUCUAGGGAUAAUUGUUCAUUGGUUGUAAGGAUAUUGUCAGAAGAAAAUGAAACCUUUUAAUUUUGUCUUUUACUUGCUGUAGCCGAUUUAAAAGCUCACUGUGCGUUCUUACUGAUUGCUUUUGGUCUUGCAUUUGAGUCAAUGGAUUUUAUACUCAUAUUCUGACAUUUAUUGUUAGUCUUCUGACGGUUCUGCACCUUGGUCCUAUAUUAUCUUCAGCAGUAUUAUCUAAAAGAUAAGUUUUUGCCGAAGAAAAUUUGCAUUCUAAACUAGAAAAUGAGGGGCCGGGGGGAGGGGGGGGGGGGGGUAGGUUGGGAGGCAACGGGAGACUGUUUUCCACUUAUCCUCUUCCCUGCCUGCAUUUUAGAUGAUUUUGAUGCACCAGGUGCCGUGAAAUGGUUGAGAAAUACAUACCAUCAAGUGAAUUCUGAAAAUCAUUUCCUUUUUGAAAAUAUUUGGUGCUAGACAUUUGAAUAUAUGGCCACAAUUUAAACAAUAAAGAUUUUCUGCAUUGAUUUCUUAUAAUGGAUAGAUGCAUGUAAGUAAAAUAUGAUAUCUUUUGAUUAUUGGCCCAUUUGUUCAGAAAGAAGGAAAAAAAAAAAAAUACAUGGUUGAAAGACAACUGUUACUUGACCUUAUGAUACAUUUUGUAGGUGUUCAUUAGGUGAUGUUACAAAUAAUGAUGCCUGCUAUGAAAAAGCUUUGGAAGUUUCGAAUGAUAAGUCAGCUCGAGCUACGGUGAUAUUGUAGUUCACAUUAUGCUUGUGCCGUGAUCAUUUUUUAGUUAACAUAUCUUUAUGUGAAUCAGAGGUCUCUAGCUCGUAGUGCAUACAACAGAGGGGAGUACGAGACAUCUAAAAUCCUUUGGUAUGUUGCUUUAAUGCUUUACUUCUCUUUCUGCCACACAGUAAUUUGCUGCAUUGACAACUGAUACGGCUGAAUGACAAUUUACCCUUGGUUUUGUCUCGGGGAGGCUGCCAUGGCCUUGAAUUCUUUGUAUCCGGAUGGCUGGUUUGCUCUUGGUGCUGCUGCAUUGAAGGUAUCAUAUUUUUGUAUUAGUAUGUGUUUAGUGUGAAGCAAUUUCUUAUCCUUUUGCCCCAAGUUUCUGAAACUCUCGGCUGAAAUAUAAAUACAGGCUCGGGAUGUUGAAAAGGCUCUGGAUGGGUUUACUCGGGCUGUUCAACUUGAUCCAGACAAUGGGGAAGCUUGGAACAAUAUUGCUUGCUUGUAUGCUCUUUUCUUUGUCAUCAUGUCAUUCCAUCCUCUUGCUCUGUAUUCUUUAAUAUUGUGUCAAUCACAUUCAUCUUCUAUCUGCAAGAGUAUGCUUCCCAUAUUUGGUUUACUUUGUUUUGACUUUCUUGUUGCAGUUGUUCUAUAUAAAUUUUAUAUGGUUCCAUAUUCCCUUGAUGAGUGAAUUUAGUUGCUGCAAAUGUUAAGAACUAGAUAGUACUGUUAUAAUUAGGAAUAGGGCAAAUAUUAGCCAGCUCUUUUGAGGAUUAUCCAUAGCAUAUACCUCCGUCGUUUUCAAAGCGAUUGAAGUUCUCCCUUUUGUCUUAUUUAAAAGAAAAAAGCACAAAUUGCUUCCCUCACAUCUAUCUACAGUCUCUUUUCUCUCUGUUUAAUUUUUUCUUGUGCUUAUUAUUUGUCUUUUAAUGCAUCUUUUCUUCUUAUUUUAUACUGUACUAGAAUUUGUGCUGUCUCGAUUUUAUCUUGCAUGUGAGUUACUGUGUUUUUCGCAAUUGUAGAACUUUAUUUAGCAGCAUAAUUAUUAGUUAGUGAGACAUUAAUUGGUUAAUACCACUUGUGAAGAUACGAAGAGCUACUUAUUCUCUCUUCUAGUACAUUUAAAAAAUUCAUGACAAAAUAUCUGGGAUGGUAAAAUUCUCGUCAAUUAUAACUACGGAAGUCUUGAGAUUUAUGUAGUCUUGCAGGCAUAUGAUCAAGAAGAAGAGCAAAGAGGCUUUUACAGCAUUCAAGGAGUCCCUAAAGUUGAAGUUCUGUCUUUUUUCCCCCUGAUCACUACAUUUUUAUUUUCUGUCAUGCACAAUGCAGUCGGACACUAUCUGAUCACAAGAAAACUGUCAUACAUAAUUUGUUGCUGCUAGGCAAAAGGUGAUAUCUAAUGUAAUAACCUAUAACAUGAUUUUGUAACAGACGGAACAGUUGGCAAUUGUGGGAAAACUACAGCCAUGUUGCUUUGGAUGUGGACAAUAUUGGUCAGGUAACCGCGGUUGUGCGCUUAAUGUCCAUCAUUUAUCACUGAAAUCUUUUGAGAUGAAGCUGGCAUUUCCUUAGCCACCCUCUGAUGGUUUUGAUUGCUUCAUGUAUGUUGUCAUCUUUGUCAACUAAUGAAAGCUGCAGAGAUUUUGUCAUCUUUUCAUUUAAAAGAAUUUGAUAGUUUAUAGCCCAUUGUCAUGUUUGCAUAUGUAUGUUAUUGUUCUUUUGACCUUUUUGUACCUCAGCUUCAUCCUUUUAUGCAAGCAAUUCUUUGUCAAGAAAUAUCUGGUUAACAAUUUCUUCGCAUGAAUAUUUUUACGGUCAUCAAGGUCCUUGAACAGUCAUGGUUAAUUGAUUACAGAUUCUCAAAUUUAUAAUUAUUUUUUUCAGGGUCAUUGUCCUUUGAUAUAUGCAAUUGAUGCAUGACUUUCUAACCAUUAUCUCCCUGCCUUCACCAUGGUCGUAUAAAUAUUUUGACAAGUGGGGAUUUUAUGAUUACUGUGUGCUAGGAAUUUUUUUGGUUGGAAAGAAAUGGGAGGAUUUUUCAAGAAGCUAGGGAGGGAAGACACCAAAUUUUUUUUGGUGGAUAAAGCCUGCUGUCACUUUGGGCAUCAAUUUCUAAUGAAUGCAAUAAUGUUCCUUUCUUUGCUAUUCAUUAAAAUUGAGUUGUUCUUCUUGGAUGGCCUUCUUUUUACUUCCCAUCAUUUUGCCAGCUUGUUGAUUGUCAUUUUUGCUUGUUGGCAGUCUUUUCCUGCAGUGUUGAUAAUAUUUAAUUAUAAUAUUAGACAACAGUGUCCUCAACAUGAUCUCUCUCCCAAAUUAUUACUCUUUUAUUCAUUAUACUUUUAGCAGUUUCUUUAUUUUUGUUAUAUUUUAUGUUUUCAGGCUCUAGAGGCUGUGCAGAUGGUGUUGAACAUGACUAAUAAUAAACGAAUUGAUACUGUAUUAUUAGAAAGAAUAGUGCUAGAUAUGGAAGGAAGGACUUCAAUUAUAGAAUCUGAGUCUUGCAGGACUACCCAUAAUCUUAACAGAACUAAUAACACUUGUGCAAAAGAUUAACCUGUAGAAUCUGUCCAUGUAUCAUCACCUGAGGAGUCAAUCAUGGGAAGAUCGCGAGAAAAUGAGCACUUGAUGGAGUUUCUUGGGAAAAUUCUUCAGCAGGUUGCACAUGGCUCCAUGAUCAUCUUUUUUCUGUCUUUUAAUACUGAGCCAAGGGACAGUCUCUCUCUUUCACGCAUAUCCACAACACAUGUACAUAUUUCUCAUAUUUCUAUGCGUAUAUAUUGUCAUUUCUGAUCUUUCUUAGUUUAUAUGAUAAUUGUCUUUGGGCAUAUGAUUCAUAUUUUCUGGGCACCCUAUGGUCUGUGGGUCAAUAAUAAUCCAUAGUAUCUGAAUUUCUAGACAAAAUUGGUCAUUUUAGCAAAUCAUUUGGAUGUAUCUAUGCAGCAGUUUACUAUUUUAGUGCUUGCAGGAAUUGGUAUGCUUAAAUUUUGGGCUUAAAUUGUGUGAAAAUAAUCAAAGUGAUAUGCAAAUUAAUUCAAGCCACAUGAGGAAAGAAUAUCCUUUUUUUUUUUUUUCAGCUUAUGUUACAUGUUUCUGUGUAUGGCAUAGGUAGUUCGAAGUGAGAGUAGUGCAGAUAUGUGGGGAUUAUAUGCAAGGUGGCUUAAAAAUAAAGGAGAUCUUACAAUGUGCUCUGAAGCCCUCUUAAAGCAAGUCAGAUCAUAUCAGGUUUCUCCAUAAACCUCAUCAUCUUAUAAUAAGUUAGCAUUAUGUUUUACUUUGAUGUUGAUGGAAUUUGUUAAUGCUAAUAAAAUUUUGUUAAUCUCUCUCUCUCUUUCUUUUUUAAAGAAGGCAAAGAAAAAGCUUUGUGAUUUCAUUUUUGUUUUCUAAAUUUGUUAUCUAAAGGAAUGACAAGUUUACAAUUCAGCCUCUGUGUGUGUGUGUGUGUGUGUGUGUGUGUGUGUGUGUGUCUGUGUCAGGGAUCUGAUUUGUGGAAAGAUAGAGAUCGGUUUAAAAGGUUUUCAUAUGCAUCCUUGGAACUUUGUAAGGUUUACAUGGAAAUUUCUUCCUCUUCUGGUAGCCGUCGAGAACUCUUUACUGCUGAGAUGCACCUGAAGAACGUACUUAAACAAGUAAAACACCUUAUAAUUCGAUAUUUAAGACACUUACAGUUGGUUUAAAGAUUGCAUUUUCCAUUUCUUUUUUUGACUGGUUCAGGGUAAAACUUUUUCUCACUGUGUUAGAGUGCAUUUCUGUUAUUAUAUAGUUUCUUAGAAGAAAAUGCACUUUUUGGAAUCUCAGGCUGAAGGAUUUUCUGACAUGGAAGAGUUCAGGGAUCUUCACGCUUGCCUUGAUGAACUGAAGACAAAACUCCAAUCUGGUCCCGUGGCUACCUAAGUAUCAGGAAUGUGCUAUUUUUGAAAUUUAGUAACAAGGUUAAAUCUGCAACAAAAAAUUAUUUUAGUUCGUACUGUAGUGGAGACCUUAAGCAUGACUGAGUAUCUUGUAUUGUUGUAUCACCUUUUCUGUAACAAAACAGUCUAGUUUUAUUAUUUUUGUAUUUUCGGUGCUGUAACUAAUCUCAUUUGCCAAUGUAAAUAUAUGGCUUCAAGUUCUUUAAAUGUAACAUCAAAUGUUGUUUUCAACCUCUGUUCUUUUAUGUAUUGCUUACAUGCCGUGAUUUCAUUAACCUCAAUUUAAGAAAAAUUUCAUAUCAUUUUUUUCUGCUUUUCUUUUAUCAUUUAAAAACAACACACACACACAUAUAAGCAAAGAAGCAACUGAAAGUUAUCUUCAUGUGAGAAUGAAAACUUUUCAGCAGCAUAACCCUUUCACUGUUCAAUUCCAAACAUGUUCCUCAACAUGAUAACAAAUUCGCAGACCUUUUCUGGGUCUGGAAGGAUCCUCGCAACAGUUUCUCUUUGCAUGCACUCAUUCUCAACCUUAAAUCCCCCAAAUUUCUCAACCGCGUAAAACCAACAAGUCAGUGGAAUGGCAAUGACAUCAACGAAUCCAAAGCUAUCCCCGCCAAAGAAAUCCUUCUCCCCUAAAGCUCCCACAAGUUGCUUCAAUAUCUCUAUAAAUUCAUUCUUCGCCGUCCCUGGGACCUUGCCCUUGCUUUUCCAUAUGUUGCAUACUGCAUCGAUUACCUGCCAAAAGAGUGGUGUCAUCUUUGCAUUUAGAAAGAUACAAACAUUUACACUUGAGAAUUAUAGACUGACCUUCUUGUCAAUAAAAUCUGCCCAGAACCUUGCCUUAGCUCUCUCAGAAGCACAGGAUGGGAGAAGUGGUGGCGAAGGCCAAGUCUCGUCAAUGUAGUUAACUAUAACGGUGGAUUCACACAAUGGUUUCCCAUCGUGUAGCAAAACUGGGACUUUCUUGUAGAUGGGGUUUGAUUUGAGCAGCAGGUCACUCUUUGCCCCCAAACAAGUUCUCAGCUCUGGCUCAUAUUCAACUCCUUUCUCAGCCAAUGCAAUCUUUGCCCAACAGUCCAAAAGAACAACCUCUCCCUUUGACAAAUUCACUUUCUUUGUUCUUGUUUCUUUUAGUUGGCUGAUAGUAAUUAAACCUUGAGUAUCAAGGUUAAUUGGCAUUUAUAAAGGAGAAAAGAUGAAAUUCCCAAAGUUUGUGUCGCAAUCAACUUUUGUUCGUUGGCACUUCCUUAAAGGAUGUGUUUGAGGGAAAUACUCCGACGAGACCAGACGUGAUGAGCAGAUGUUUAGUGGCAGAAUUCUGCGAGCAGGUAUGUCCUGUAAGAGCCAGGUAGCAGGGGAACAGGGGCAGGAAUAUCCUGCUCAUCCACGAGCACGUCAUCUGCGAGGCCAAUUUCCUGUAAGAGGCAUAAAGCCAUUCCUGCUGUAUUCUCGCUGAGGGUUGAUUCGAGGAGACCCGGUCAACGACAGUUGGCGAGGCAUGCUCUCCAGCCCGAGAAUCUAGGCACGAAGGCCACGCAACCACCCAUGACUACGGAAAUGGGGAAUCCACGUUCGAGAGGUGGGAGGAUAACGGGCGUAGACUGCGGAAAACUGGGAUUCAGAGGAAGCCUAUAAAAAGGUAGCCAACGAAGGUAAAAGGGUUAGCAUUUUUGAGAUUAGAAGAGAGCUAAAGAAAUUCUAAAGAAGAGCAAACUACGAAAAAGCCAUAAGAUUUGUGGCAAACAUUCCCAGAACCCCUAUAUCUGACUUGAGCGUCGGAGGGUUUGCGCCGGGAAAACAACCGGCGUACUCUGACUUGUCUGUGUGCGCAGGAACCUCUGGAGAAGAAGCCUUACGAGGAGACCUCCUGGUCGUGGUGAAGUUGAUCGAGCAGAGAGCCUGGUCGUAGAACGAGGAGAACCAGAAUCUCGCAUCAAUAGGAUGUGGCAUUGUUCUUAUCAUUUCUUAGUUUUUGAAGCUUACUGUUUUACUUGGCUUUCAACAUGCACAAGAACAAGUUUGUCUUGUGCAUGCGGAGUUUACUAUGGACAAGCCGAAUCGUAAGUAACCAUUUACACUAAUCAAUCGGUAUUGUCCAGUGAAAAUAAGUAAUGUAAAAAGUGUCUAGGAUUUUUCCUAAUAUUUCUCAAAAUAGGCUCAUUAAGCCCAAUUCUGGUGCUAGAUUGGUUCAACUUUGAAUCAAACUUGGAAACAUUUUUCUUUAGAUUAUUAUUAUUAAUUUAGAAGAGUCAAAAAGCUAAGAGUAUCGUUAGUAAAUGUCAAACAUGUGUAAUAUCACAUAUCACUAGUCAGUGAGUUUCGUAAACUUUCCUAAUUAAGAAGACACGUUUUGAGUUGUAAAUUCUAACACAAUAUCUAUUCAGUUGUUUAACUUGGAAUAUUACAAUUAUAUCAAUAUUGUUUGAUGUGGGCACACAACCUUGCGUCUUCUUAGUUAGGACAGCCAAUUAAAUCCACUUCUUAGCGAUGCAGGGGAUGAUACAUAACUUGUAUGUGCACGUUGGCGGAGUAUCCCAAUUAUGCACUCAUUUGUCUUCUUGUGUUUUAAAAAAUCUAUUGUACUGGAUAUACUGUAAAUUUAUCAAAUUGCUUGUUAUAAUGCUUCUAUUUGCGUUGUUAUUCGAGUUGUCAUUUUGAGUUUUAUUUUAUUUUUUCUUUAAACAUAAUUAAUUUGAAAUGUUCUUUAAUUUUCAUUACACUUGAGAUCAUCAAAUAAGUGAUUCGUGAACAUAAUUGCUGUUGUUACUCGAAUAAGAAAAGAAAACAACGAUUUGCUAAGGUAAAAGUAAAUGGAAAUGAGAGCACGUGAUUUUGCAAAGAGAACUUCACACUAUCAUAAAACCGAAAACAUUACAAUUUAAAGCUUAAAUAACAACACACCAAAGCCAAAUAACGACCCACUAGAAUCACGGUCCAAAGAUUGUGCCAUGAUCACAACAUGAACUACAAAAAAAUAACCAACACCAGAAAAGUAGGAACAGUUUAAAACUUUCAUUUAAGCAGCAUUUAUGAUUCCACAUCAGCAGUCCUAAACACAUCUUCUAACAAUUGCAACUGUUCAUUUUUGCUUCUGCCAAUAAGGAGUUGAUAGUAACCAAAGAUUGUUGUCUUUAUUGUCAUUUGAGAGUAACCAAUUACUUACGCAGUCACGUAAGUUGCUGGUAGGCCUCGCACAUUUUUGACAAGUUUGUUUCUGAAGGAAAGCAGCUGAGCCGCAACCUCUUCCUUGUUCAUUCGUUCUCUCGGCAACUCUGAAGAGCAAAUGACUCCGAUUUCCAGUACUGAAACCAAGCACUCUUUACCACCAAAACUUCUAGUCCUUUGUUUGUGAGCAUUGGCCUCGCUUGUCUCCCCUUCUUCUCUUUCUACAAGAAGCACUGGAUUAACAAUUUCAGCGAGUCUUUCAGGAAGAGCUUCCUUGACAAAAUUAUGUAGGGUUAGAUUGCCUGUAAACAUCUCAUUCGUCGGCCCCUUUCCUGUAAACAUUUCCAGCAAAAGAAUGCCAAAACUGUACACAUCUCCACUUGUUGAGACUUCGCUCCCCAUUCCGUACUCUGCAAUUCGAAAAUUAAAAUUGUUGGUUCAACUAGUAAAAUCUCCGAGGAUUGAAAAACAAGUUGAUUAAAUUAGAGUAUUUACCUGGAGCAGCAUAACCAACAGUUCCUUUUACUCCAACAGAGCUUGAUUGAUUAGAUGACAAGUUAUUGGCGGCUUCCGGAAGGAAUUUUGCUAAUCCAAAAUCACUUACAUGGGCAGUCAAUUCACCAUCCAGAAGAACAUUGCUUGGCUUGAGAUCACAAUGGACUAUUGGAGUUUCACAAUAAUGAUGAAGAUAUUCCAAUGCGGAAGCAACAUCAACGGCAAUACUCAGUCUUUGCAGGAGAUUUAGAUUCCUAGGUGCGUCACGGUUUGGAUGCAACCAUUCCUCCAGGCUCCCGUUAACCAUCAACUCAUAAACUAAAGCCUCAAAAUCAUUCCCUUGGAAGUCAACACUUACACAGGAAGUUAUUAUUUUGACGAGAUUCCGAUGCCUAAUACUCCUCAAGGCUUGACACUACGCUAUGAAACUCUUUGAAGCUCCACGAUGUUGAAGAUUAAGCACCCUAACUGCCACCAGCGUUUCAUGAUCAUCGUGAUCCAGGAUUCCUUUAUAGACCGAACCAAAGCUACCGGCACCAAUCAAAUUUUCCAAAGAGAACCCAUCAGUUGCUUUGAACAGAUUCUGAUAGGACACUCGUAAAACCGAAGCCAAUAAUGUUGAUGGAGGAGUGGACGGCUCCCUUUUUGUUUUGCUCCACCAGGAAGUAAUUAUCAAACACGACAUCCCUGUCAGGAACAAAAUUCCUGUAACUAUAGGAAUAAUCAGUUUCAGGGAACGGGAACGUGAUUGCUUUGAUUCUUUGGUGGAGCAAGUACAUAAAUGCAACUCAGAUAUGCCACCACAAAGGUUAUCAUUUCCGUCAAGAGAUAUAGCACUCGAAUUGCUGAAGACUCCUUUUAUUGGUACUUCACCCUCAAAAUGAUUAAAAGACAGAUUUAAAUUCUGCAAAAAGAAAAAGUUUUCCAGAUAUUUUGGAAUCCGGCCAGACAAAUUGUUCCGCGAAAGAUCAAGAUUCUCAAUGCCUCUCAAAGAACUGAAUGAUGAAGGGAUAUUCCCCUGAAAGAAAUUACCGUUCAUGACGAGUUGUUCCAACCUAAUGCAACUUCCUAUACUGCUUGGAAUUUGACCAGACAAUUUGUUCUCCGAUAUAUCUAUAGCACCCAGAUUUUUCAAGAUACCAAAAUUUGAGGGCAAAGGACCAUUCAAUUGGUUUUGAGAUAGAUCGAGAUAGAUUGACAAGGAAGAGAGACCGAUCACUUCAGUGGGUAUGGUACCAGUGAGGUUGUUAUUAGAGAGAUCUAAUAAUAUCAAGUUUUGGCAUUUCCCUAGACUUGAUGGAAUGCUUCCCUCUAACAUGUUUUCCGCAAAAUUUAGUGUGAUUAACAAUGUCAAAUUUCCUAUAGAAGAUGAAAUUUCCCCCCAAAACUUGUUCCCCUCCAACCUCAACGUCUGAAGCUUUUGAAGAUCUCCUAUACUUCCCGGAAUUCGGCCUGUGAAUUGGUUUUCCUCAAGAUAUAAAAGCUCCAAGUUAACAAGGUUUCUUAAUCCACUUGGGAUAUUUCCGAACAAUUGAUUGUUUUCAGCUGAUAACAUUCUAAGUCGGGUUGACAAGUUCCCCACAGUUUCAGGUAACAUUCCACCAAAAUUGUUAUCACUAAUUAACAGUAGCUCUAGUCUAGAAGCGUUGACCAAAGAAUUGAAAAAUUCCAAGUCAUCUUUUUCCCCAUUUCCUAAGUGAUUCACAGAAAUACUAACCACUUCGAGUUUAUGUAAAUUUUCCAAACUAGGCACCUUUCCACUGAAUCCAUUCAUCGCGAUUAUAAGUUGCAUUAGAUUUGAGGCAUUGGAUAUUGAAGCAGGAAUAGGCCCGGUAAACUGAUUAUCACCAACGUUUAGAUAUUCAAGAUUAGGAAGAGUGAAGCCUAAGUCUGAUGGAAGGCUUCCUUGAAGUUGGUUGACAGUAAAAUCAAAAUCACUAAGCGAAGACAAGUUGUAGAUUGAGAAGGGGAUUUCACCUGAUAGCUUAUUUGAAUCAAAUGAUAUAAAACGCAUCCUCUUAAGCUCGCCCAGGGUUUCAGGAAUUUGUCCUACAAAUUGAUUUAUAGUUGCUGAGAGGACCUGGAGUGAUGAUAAAUUGCCGAAGGAUGAUGGGAUUUCUCCUGACAAAUUGUUGGAGUGUAUUACGAGAAUCCGGAGCUUUGAUAAGGAGCCCAGUUUCCCUGGAACUUUCCCCGCAAGCUCAUUACUGCCUAACCAGAGGGAUUCAAGGUUAACGCAAUGCGAUAUGUUGUCAGGAAUUUGACCUCCAAAUGUAUUGUUGUCCAGCCAUAAAAAUCGUAACCUGAACAGAUAUCCAAUCUCUUGAGGGAUUUCGUUGCGGAAAAUUAGAAUUAGAUAUAUUGAUUUGGAAUGUUUGUUUACAGAGAAAAUCUGAGCAAGAGAGAAAGAAAAUUUAUUCUUGUUAUUAUUAACAAAAUGGGAUCACCAGCUUAUAUAUGUUGCUUGCUGGAAUCUCUUUUACGCACUCAUCACUUUCACGUGUAUUUCACCUUUUUAGAGAAGCUAAAUAACAAACUAAACAGACUAACGACUACUUUGCUGACUGGACUGCCACGUCACCAUAACUGAAUUAACUAAACUAAUGCUGUUAACACAUAUUCUUAUCAUCCCCCCUCAAGCUUAAGUUCGGGGAAGAACAUUAAGCUUGGUACGAAGAUAAGCAAACUGAUCAAAGAAGAGGGGCUUGGUGAGAAUGUCUGCAAGUUGUUCUGAACUAGAAACAUGACUGAUAGUCAGUUGCUUCUGUGCAAUGUGCUCUCGAAUAAAAUGAAGAUCCAACUCAAUAUGUUUUGUACGAGAGUGAUACUUGGGGUUGCUAACUAGUGCCUCAGCACUCUGAUUAUCACAAUACAAAACUGGACUGUGAGUAGGCUGAAUAUGCAGCUCUUGAAGUAAAUAAGUCAGCCAAAGAAUUUCAGAGGUUGCUGAAGCAAGAGCCCGAUAUUCGGAUUCUGCUGAGGAAUGAGAAACAAUUGUCUGUUUCUUAGAAGACCAGGAAAUAAUGUUGUUGCCUAAGAAGGCACAAUACCCUCCAGUAGACUUUCGAUCAUCUGGAUCAGCUGCCCAAUCAGCAUCAGAAAAUGCUGUUAAAGUCACUGAUCCUGAAUUCCAAAGUGUGAAGUAGCUUGUAGAUAUCGAAGAACCCUUUUGCAAGCUUGCCAGUGUGCAAUAGUUGGAUGAGCUAGGAACUGACUGAGUUUGUUUACAGGGUAAGCUAUGUCAGGUCUGGUAAGCAACACAUAUUGAAGAGAGCCUACAAUGCUUCGAUACAAGGAGGGAUUAUCAAAGGCUGUACCACUGUCCUUUGUAAGCUUAGCACCUGGACUCAUAGGAGUGUUAAAACCUUUGCUGUCAAGCAUAUUUGCUUUGCUAAGGAUAUCACCAAUGUAUUUGGUUUGAGAUAAAUGCAGUCCCUGAACAGAGGGUGUCACUUCAAUACCAAGGAAGUAGUUAAACUCGCCCAGAUCUUUGAGUGCAAAUUCUGAAUGAAGAUAUUGAAUAACAGCCUCAAGAUGUUGAGAAUUAGAACCAGUAACCAAAAUGUCAUCAACAUAUAUAAGAAGGAGCACAAUAUCAUUGCCAAUAUGUUGAAUAAACAUAGAAGUAUCAGAUUUGGAAGAAUGAAAACCUUUAUUGAGUAAGGAACCCUUCAGCCUCUCAUACCAAGCCCGAGGAGCUUGUUUGAGACCAUAUAAGGCCUUGUUUAAUUUGCAAACAUAAGAUGGAUGUGCAGAGUCUAUAAAACCUUGUGGCUGAUGCAUGAACACAUCUUCUUCAAGCAUGCCAUUUAGAAACGCAUUAUUAACAUCCAGCUGUCUAAUUUGCCAAUGAUGCAUCACUGCGAGGCUGAGUACAACUCUGACUGUGCAAGGUUUCACAACUGGGCUGAAGGUCUCAAAGAAGUCCACUCCUUGAGUUUGAUGGUAACCCUUGGCAACCAACCUAGCUUUAUACUUGGAAAUGCUGCCAUCAGGAUUAUACUUCACCCUAUAGACCCACUUAUUGCCAACUAUUUUAGCAGCACUGUCAGAGGGUACUAGAGUCCAGGUUUGGUUCCUUUGUAGAGCAUCAAAUUCCUCCUUCAUAGCAUGAAACCACUUAGGAUCAUGCAAGGCACUUUUUACACUGGCUGGCACAAGAUUUUCAGUAGCUGCCAGAUAUGAUUUGGGUUUGAAAACACCAGCUUUAGCUCUAGUAAUCAUUUGGUGAGAUGGUAAAGAAGAUGAGUGAGGUGGUUCAGCUGAAGAAUGAAAGGAAGGAGAAGGCUGUGCUGAACUGGAACUUGAUGGAGAAGACAUUGCUGGCUGAGGAUUAGGAGAUGAUGACUCUACAGUGCUACUGUCAACCUGAGCAGAACUUUGAAGAAAGGAAAAUUGUACUGGUGAAGAUGAGACAUCAACAGUGGAGACUGAUGAAAUAGAGUGUUUCAAAAACAAUUCUUUGUAAGGAAACUCAGUUUCAUUAAAAACAACAUGUCGAGCAACAAACACUUUACCAGAGGAAUUUAAACAUUUAUAACCCUUGUGAAGGGGACUGUAACCAAUGAAAAUGCAUUUUUGAGUGUGAAAGUCAAGUUUAUGCUGGUUAUAAGGUCUAAGGAAUGGAAAACAGGAGCAACCAAAAACUCUGGGAAACUGGUAGUCAGGUAGUUGAUUAUGUAACUUCUGAAAUGGAGAUAGAUUGUUUAGAACUGAGGUGGGCAUCCUGUUAAUGAGGAAAGAGGCAGUGUGAAAGGCUUCCCACCAAAAGGAAAGAGGCAAUUGGGAUUGAGCUAGAAGUGUUAAACCUGUUUCAACUAUGUGCCUGUGUUUCCUCUCAACAACACCAUUUUGAUGGUGUGUGUAUGGACAGUUAUACCUAAAGCAUAUACCCUCUUGCUGAAGAAAGGUUUUAAAGGCUAUGAAUUCACCACCCAUAUCUGACUAUAGUGUUUUGAUAGACAAGGAAAACUGUUUUUCAACAAGAAGUUUGAAGUGUUUGAAGGUUUCUAAUGCUUCUGAUUUUGUUGUGAGAGGAAAGAUCCAAGAAUAUCGUGUGAAAUCAUCCACAAAGGAGAUAUAAUAUCUGUAUCCAUUCAUAGAAUAUUCAGGAGCUGGUCCCCAUAAGUCUGUAUAUAGAAGCUCAAGUGGUGCUUUUGUUUUAAUGGUAGUAACAGAAAAAUGAAGCUGAUGCAUUUUGCCAUAUUGACAGGCAUCACAAAAACUAAUGAAUUGAUUUGAAAAACAAUGCGUAGAAAGACUCUUAAUAAUUGUUUGCAAAGCAUGUUUAUUAGGAUGACCAUAUCGAUUAUGAAGUAACUGAACUGACAUCUUUCCAGUCUAGAAGAAUUUCCAGAAACAGAAUAUGCAAAAGAUUCAGUAGUAUUUACAUUGUGCAACUUUGACACAUGAUUAUUUGACUCUGGUAGAGAGUUUACAACUUUAUUAUCAACACACAAAGACAGCAUGGAACUUGGUUUAAAAGAAUUUGGAUUGCAAUCUGCAGAAUGGGGAGAGAACACAUCAAGUGACAGUAGCUUGUAAAGACCAUCUUCAACAAUCCCCUGUGCCAGCAAAAUUCCCUUCUUCUUGUCCUUAAUAAAACACAUGGUAGAAUAAAAUUCAAUGAUUAUGUUGUUAUCCAAAAGAAGUUUAGAUAUACUGAUGAGAUUUUUGGUUAUUUUGGGAACACACAAAGUAUUGGUUAAGGAUAAACAGGUGCCAAAAGAAGUAGAAAGAUAAGUGCAGCCAAUAUGUGUGAUAGUGAGACCUUGACCAUUACCAACAAACAACAAUUGAGUGCCAUUAUAAGGGUUACCUUCAACCAAAUUUUGCACAUUGUUGGUGAGAUGAUGAGUGGCUCCACUGUCCAGAUACCACCCCUGAUCAGCAACUCCUUCUGAAGUAGCCAUAUAAGCUGUUCUUGGCCCUUGAUUUGGCAUUGGAGAAUUUGGAAUAAAGUUUCUGUUAAAUCUGUUUCUGCAUCUGCAGCUGAGUGGUUUGGUUUGAAACAUAUUUGGCAGGUGAUAUUUCCUCUGCCACCUCCUCUACCAAAACCACCAGAGGAUGCUGGAUUUCUACCAUUAAAGCCACCAUUUCCAAUAAAUCCACCAGUAUUACCAUUAAAUCCACCAGAGUUUGAGCCUCUACCUUGAUUUCCAAACCAGCCUCUCCCUGAAUUUUGAUCCAUGAAGCCACCUCUGCCAGAUCCAUAACCUCCUUUGUUGUUGAAAUUACCAUUUCUAUUUCUAUUUACAAAAUUUCCAUUCCAAUUGCCCUGAUUAUUAUUAUUCCAAUUAGCAUUGUUUCCUGACUUCUUUUGAUUAUUGCCAGUAUUAGCCACAUUAGCACUAAAAUUCAACUUAGUUUCCUUAGCUACACCAGAAUGAUUACUCUCAAGCCUAGCUUCAUGAGAUAGCAGCAUAGAAUAAGCCUCAUUGAUACUUAUUUUAAGAGCAUUUGCUUCAAUAUAAACCACAACAGGGUAAUAAGACUGUCCUAGACCUGAGAUCAAAUGUGUAAUGAAGUCAAGAGAAGAAACUGAACUUCCAGCCAUUGCUAAUUCAUCAGUUACUGACCUCAGUUUACAAAAAUAUUCAGUAAUGGACAUGGAUCCUUUCUUAAGAUUGUUUAACAACAUCUUUAAAUGCACUUUCUUUGCUGCUGUUUCAAAUCCAAAUUGUUCCUCUAGACUUAUCCAAAGCUCUCGAGAGGUUUUAGAAUUUACCACAAUGCUUAAGAUCUCCACAGUGAUUGAAGACAGAAGCCAGCUCAAGAUCAUCUGAUCUUGCCUUUUCCAAGUGAUGCAAGCAGGAUUCUCUGAGACAACCACUGCAUCUGUGCUUGUUGAUUCUCCAGUCAGCAGCUGGUUUGGACAGGUACGUGAUCCAUCAAGAAAACCUUCCAGAUCAUUUGCUCGAAUGGCUGAAAGGAUCUGAGAUUUCCAUAUGGUGUAAUUCGAUCUGUCAAGCUUGAUUGGUGUGGUGAAAGUAAAUGUUGAGAUUGCGGAAGAGACAUUUGUACUAAGACUUGAAGAGGCCAUGAUCAUGAAGUGAUUCAAGGCUCUGAUACCAAAUUAGAAUUAGAUCUAUUGAUUUGGAAUGUUUGUUUACAGAGAAAAUCUGAGCAAGAGAGAAAGAAAAUUUAUUCUUGUUAUUAUUAACAGAAUGGGAUCACCAGCUUAUAUAUGUUGCUUGCUGGAAUCUCUUUUACACACUCAUCACUUUCACGUGUAUUUCACCUUUUUAGAGAAGCUAAAUAACAAACUAAACAAACUAACGACUACUUUGCUGACUGGACUGCCACGUCACCAUAACUGAAUUAACUAAACUAAUGCUGUUAACACAUAUUCUUAUCACGGAAGCUAUUGUUUUUGAGAUCUAACACUCUGAGAAAACUUAAAUUACCAAUGUGAGGCGACAGAGACCCCUGCAAGAGUAAAGAUGGAAGAAGUAAUGCAGUCACCCUUUGGUGCCGUCGACUGCAAGUGACACCUUUCCAUUGACAAAAGUGCCUGGAAUAGUUCCAUGAACUCAAAACCUCAAGAGGGUCAUGAGUAACUUUGGCCUUGAAUUCAAGCAAUGCAAGUUGAUCAGUUUCAUUUCUUUUGAGCAUAUAAUCGGUUGACUGCAAGCUGAAGCUGAAGCAACAGAAAAUAAAGAAACAAAUGCUUGCAAUGAUUGAACUCGUCAUGUUUACAAAAUCCAUUUAACUGCCGAAAGGAAAUUAAAAUGAUAAAACUUUUAUAGAGGUCGGUAAGAUAAACUAUGUUUGUAUAUUUUUUGCAAUGAUUUAUGGACUCUGUCUUUGAUGCUCAAAUGUGAACCGGCUGGCACCGUGACAGUGAAACUAAAACUUUUUGUUUUUCUAAUAAUAUUAAUUAUCAUAUUUAUUACUAUUGUUAGAAUAAUAUAUUGCAGCUUUAAAGAAAGACUCACCAUACUCCUUUUUGAGUCUCUGUCAGUUUCCAGCAUUUGGUCAUUUUUUAUUUCACCGCUUAAUCCACAGUAAAAUAUAAAACAAUUUAAUCAACAAUAUUGAAAAGAAAAAAAGUAGGACAAGAGAAAGGUAAAUACUGUUAAAUGAGUUGGGAAACGUUCAAAGCACGAAGGGAAUUAGAAAAGAAAAAAAGUAGGAUAAGAAAGUUAAGUAUGAUGGAUGGAGUUUCACAUUACUGUUAAAUGACUUGGGAAAGGUUUAAAGCACGACAGGAAUCAACGUUUCACAACGCUUUUUAGAUUUUUUUCUAAAAGGAAAAAGAUAUUCUCACAAAAGUAAGUACAAAAUUUCACACAAAACGGUGCAUUUAAAUAAAGUAAAAUUGCAAAAAUACUCAAAAUAUAUAAGAUUGAUUAUUUACACCCUCUUUGUUUAUCUUGGGUGAACUAUUUCUGGAAAAUGGGCAGAGCCUAGUUUGGUUCAAAAUUUGAAAUAACAAAAGGUAUAUUGGUGGAAAACCAGCGACAUAUUUUCUAAUGGUUAACCUAAAUGGGAAUUAUAUCGGUUUGUACUGUCAAUAUAACAAACAACUAACUAAAUUAUUUAGAAGUCAUGAAUAAAAAUGGAUAGAACAAGAAGUAUAUUGCUAUUCGAUGCAAGAAGUUGGAUUAUUAAACCAUAAUAAAAUAAUAUAACUACACAUGUGCAAUAUUAUUCACUAGAAAGAUUUAAUUUAGAUAUUAAACAGUUAGUGCAACUGUAUCGAUCUCAUGCUCAUUAAUUUAGAGUUUGAGAACUCAUAAUAAAAGAAAAUAGAAAUUUAAACAUAGAUCCUAUCCUAUUAAGUAGAAUCAGAAAAGAAGUUUACAGAAAUAAUUUUUCAUGGAAAUAAUGAAAUAUUAAUCCUGUUGAUGGAUAUAUUGGUGAAUACAUAAUAGAACAUUAUAAUAGAUUUUUAUCUAUCAAGCAAAGGGAAGAAUAUAAUUGGAAUAACAAAAGAAUUAGAAGUAAAUAGUAAUAUGCUAAUAGGAUAUAGAGGAUUAAUAUUAAUUAUCAUAUUUGUGUGUGUAUGUAUAUAUAUAUAUUUUAAAUGAUUUAGGGACUCUGUACUUGAUGCUGAAAUGUGAACCGGCUGGCACCGGGACAGUGAAACUAGUACUUUUUUUCCCUUAAAGCACCACAGGAAUCAACGUUUCACAAAGCUUUUUUUCCCUUUCUGAAAUAUUCGGUGCAGUCUCCCCCAGAUUUUGCUAGUGCAACCAAGAGACGUCAUGCCGUUAUCAAUUAUAAACUGUAAAUGACAUGUUGUUUUUACAAGACAUAUUAUGCGUCGAUACAUAUCUAUGAAUGGGUUCAAGAAAUUCCGAAGGUUGCGAAACAAUAAGAUUCAUUUAAUUAUGUGGGUUUGGCCACCAAUUUAGCAUUAGGAACUUAUUGUUUAGGAAGCUAUGGUGGGUUUCGUAGUGGGACUUAUCCUGUUUAAUGCAUUUGGUGAUUUUAAACCAACAUAUAUAUAAUUCCAUUAUAAAACUCAUCAAACCUUCUAAAAUAACAUGUUGAGAUAGUGUGCUAGAUCCAUAUAAAUAUUCAUUUCCAUUGAUAGUUUAAUGGGCAAAGCCUUUUGAAUUCUCCAUGUUAUCAAGUUAAUUUUUGCUGGAAAAUGCAAUCCGGAUAUGAAUAGAAUUUUUUGUGCAAUCAAAUUUUCUAUGUUGACACAUCCUCUGGAACUUUCCAUAACUUUUAUGGGGAAGCUUUAAUUUCUUAGUUGUUGAUUUCGAAUAAAAAAUAAACUUAACUUUAAAAUUACAAUUGUAAUUAUAAAAUAUUUACUGAAUACAUUAGUGUUAAUACUACAAAUUGUUCCAUUAAAAGUCUCCCAGAAAGGAAGAAGUGACUUAAAAAAUUAAAAGAAUGCAGGAGCUGAAGUUGGCAAUUUUGUAAAUUGCAAUGGCAAUUGUGGCCUAGUAAAAUCCCUCAAUAAGUCACAGCACUAGCAAUUUCGUAAUAUACAUUAGUGGCAAUUUUGUAAAAUUGAAGUAGUGAUAGUUUUGCAAAUAAAAGUAAAAACUUUUUCCCUAAAUUCGGCUGAGCUAAAAGCCAGCUUAGCCCACACUCUCCUUCGCCACUGGUUGACGAGCUCUUCCUUCAAUUUUUGAACUUGAAGUGAUGCCCCAUCGAUCAAAUAUUUAAGCAGAAUGAUGACGGAGUUACAAACAAUCAAAUAUGAUCCUAAUGAUUCUUUUUAGAGAGUCACCUGUACGUUGACGUGUUUAAUUGAUGUUUAUUUAACCAGAAAUUGAAGUUUGAUCCUGAUUAAUUAGAUGAGAACACACAUUCAUGAGUAAUUACUUAAAAUUAAAUUAAUCAAAAAUAGUAUAAAUACAGGAGAAAAUCGACCAUAUGCGUGCAGACACCACAAUCGAAUUAUAUAUAUCACCGCCGCACAUAAAUCUUAUUCCAAUGAUAUAUGAUUAAUUAAUUAAUUUUUUUAAUAACAAUUAAAUUGUAAUGUCAAUUGUCCACAUAAGAUUUUUUUUUUUGUUGAUGAAAGUUAGCAAUUUUUUUUCCAUUUUUUUAAAUAAUAGUUGUUAAUACAAAUCAAAAAGAUAUUAGCACUUGAGAUCAGGGUCUACUUGAGUUAGAAUUUUUUAUUAGAAAAGUUAUUAGCCAGCGAUGAAAAAUAAAGAAGUAACACAAGAUAAAGAGUAAAAUGAGAGAGUAUGUAUUAUAAAAAAUUUUUAUCCAUUUCAAGUGUGUACCAAACAAAGAGAUGAACUCUCCUUUCAUAAUUACAUAAUUAUUACAUGAAAUUAAUGAAAAUAUUAUGGAUUAUAAUUCCUUGCGAGAUAGUGGGAGUUAUAGAAAAGUCAAGAGUUGUUAGUGGAAGAUAAGAGAGAGAGUAAAAGAUAUAUGUUAUGAAGGUUUACAUUUAUUUUAAUAAAUUCAUAGUAUUUUUUUCCUUAAAUAAUAGGGUGUGGAGAACAAUUGGAAGGACUUUACGUGUGUGUGUAUAUAUUGACAUAGAAAUUGCAGGACGCGUAGUUUAGCGUUUCAAAUAGGUGCUCUCAGUUGGAAUUAUAUAUAGAACAUUAUUUAUGGCAAACAGGUGCUCUCAGGUGCUCUCAGUUUACGGCUUUUUACGGCAAACAGGUGCUCUCAGUUUUCAAAAUCUCGAGCGCGCGGGUUAUUUUUCAUUACCUUUAUCGCCGAAAGGCUGUUUUAACCAACUAAGAACUAAAAGCUAAAACCCAAAACCCCCCUCUUGUUCGUUUCCAGGGACUUUACCUUGAUGGCCGAAAAGCAACUGGAAAUCCUCCGCGGGUACGAGCUGCGGCUCUUGCCCUGCACCCUCGCUCCCCCACCGUCGGACCUUCGCAUUCAAUCGCAACCGUUGAACGAAGAAAGCCAAUGCUCUCUCCUUCCACUCCACGAGCACAUCAACAGCCUCAUCAACUCCAUCGAGUCCGGCCACUAUCUCCAGGCUCUGUCCUCCGAC
Molecule: long non-coding RNA, 73452 nt
Filed under: Citrus x clementina
Lineage: Eukaryota; Viridiplantae; Streptophyta; Magnoliopsida; Sapindales; Rutaceae
Description: Citrus clementina (C. clementina) long non-coding RNA (CCLE_LNC003585)
Source: RNAcentral